Molecule: long non-coding RNA, 69239 nt
Filed under: Ananas comosus (pineapple)
Lineage: Eukaryota; Viridiplantae; Streptophyta; Magnoliopsida; Poales; Bromeliaceae
Description: long non-coding RNA (ACOM_LNC033889)
Source: RNAcentral
UCAAACUUAAAUUCAUAUUUUUAGUUUACAACAUAUACUUAAUUUUUGACCUCGACAAAAAUAAAAAAAAUACAAAAAUAUACAAUAUAUAGUUAAAUUUUAACUAUAAAUUUAAGUUAAAUAAAUUUUUAAAUAUAUAUUUAUUUUUUAGUUUAUGUGAUUUAAAGUUUUAUUUUAUAUUAAAUUCGAAGUUAAAAUUUAAUUAUAAAUUGAAUAUUUUUGUAUAUUUUUAAAAGUUUGAGGAACUCAAAAUUUAAGUACGUAUCUUAAAUUAAAUUAAAACUAUCAAAAUUUUAAUGCACCUUUAAUUCAAAAUUCAAAAUUUAAAAUUAAUUUAUUUUAACUAAAAUAUUUUAAAUAUUAAAUUAAAUUUGAUUUUCAAAAAUUAAAUUUAAUUUAUGAUUUAAAUUGAAAUUUUAUAAAAUAAAAAAUAAAAUUAUGUUAUUACUGUCACCAAUAAUUAUUUAAAUUUGCGUUAGAAUAUGACAGAUAAUUUAUAAUAGAUUAUAAUAAAUAAAUUUAUUUUUUUAAUUAAUUUUUUUAUUCUAAAUUUUUGGAUAAAUAUAAUGCACAAAUUUAUAUUAUUUUGAGAUAACUUUUAGGAUAUUAAUUUGAAAUAACUAUUAAGCCGUUUUCGAUAAUGAAAUUUUCGAAUCGGCGAUCAGCUCUGUUAUACUUGAUUUAGCGUAUUCUAAAUAUUUAGAAAAUAAAUUUUAUGAUUCUUUAAUAUUUUUUACCUAGUGAUUAGAAAUAUUGAUCUUGUUACAAAUAGUAUAAAUUAUGUAAUUAUUAGGGUAUUAUUUAUCUAGUGAUCGAAAUGACUAAAAAUGAUGGACGACUAAAAAUAAAAAUCUCAUAAAAAAUUAUGAUAUAGUACAAAUUUUCAAUCAGAGAUAUUGAGAGAUAUUGAUCUUAUUGUAGAUAGAAUAAAAAAUUUUCUAUCAAUUUUUUUUUUAAUUUGAAUACUUUUAUACUGUUAAUAUAUGAUAUAAAUUUUUUUGAUCAAUAGAUAAAUUAUAUCAAAAAAAUUACAAAAUUAGUUUUUUAUGUCCUUCAAAUAUAUUAGAUCAAGUCUAACGGAAUCGAUUGUUGAUUCGAAAAUUCUAUUAUCAAAAAUGGUUUGGAAAUAAGGAGGCCUAUGUGCUCUUAAUAGCAAACUAGUCCUACUAUAUAUAUGCAUGGCUACUGUACUAUUAAGAGCAGAACAUUUAAUUUCUCCCCAAUUUUUUUUUCUCUCUCAUCUUAUCCAUCAAAAUUGAUGGAUGGCUAGAAAGAUAGAAGUACAAGGACUGCUGUGCUCUUAAUAGCAUAAUAGUCGUUAAUCUCUCAAAAUUUUUUCUCUCAUCCUAACUACCCAUCAAAAUUGAUGAAUGGUUAGUAAAUUAGGAGCACAAUAACUGCUGUUCUCUUAAUAGCACAGUAGCCUUACUCAUAGAGAGAGAGAGAGAGAGAGUAAAUCUUGCAUGCUACUAGGAGCACGGAGUCUUUCGUGCUCCUGAACCGUUUUCGAUGAUAGAGCUUUCAUAUCGACAAUCGGUUCGUUAGAUUUGAUCUAGCGUAUUUAAUAUAUCUAGAAAAUAAAUUUUAUGAUUUUUCGAUAUCAUUUAUCUAGCGAUCGAAAGGUUUCAAAAUGAAUAAUUUUUAAUGGUUGAUAUAUAUCAAUUUUUUUUAUGAAAUUUUUAUUUUCAGUUAUUAAUUUUGAACCUUUUCGAUCGCUAGGUAACGAUAUAAAGUUUAUUUUUUAAAUAUUUCAAUUAUGCUAGAUCAAAUCUAGCAUAAUAGCACACAAGAUCUACUCUCUCUCUCUCUCUCUCUCUCUCUCUCUCUCUCUCUCUCUCUCUAUAUAUAUAUAUAUAUAUAUAUAUAGUAUAUGUAGUUGAGCUACUAUUCUAUCGAAGCACGGACCUUCCGUACUUCCAGCCGUUUCGAUGUUGGCGACUUUCGAAUCGUCGAUCGGCUCCGUUAAACUUGAUCUAGAGUAUUUAGAAUACCUAGAAAAUAAAUUUUAUUAUUUUUUCGAUAUCAUAUUCGCUAGUGAUCGAAUGGGCUCAAAAUCACAAAUUUCAAUGGCCGCAGUGAGCCGUUUGCAAGUUUACGGUGUAGAAAUAUCCAAAUCACGUGAAAUUUUGAUAGAAAAUUUUUAUACUAUUUAAACAAGAUCAAUAUCUUGAUUUAAAAUUUAAUGUCAUAUUAUUCAUUUUGUAGAUUUUUUAUUUUCAGCCGUUGAUUUUGAGCCCUUCGUCAUAGGCAAUGAUAUCGUAAAAUCAUAAAAUUUAUUUUUUAGGACUUUCAAAUACUCUAGAUCAAGUUUAACGAGCAAUCGACGAUUCGAAAGUCGCAACUUAAAACAGCUGAAAGCAACGGAAGGCUACCGUGCUUCCGAUAGCAUAGUAGCCUCACUCUAAUAUAUAUAUAAUAUAUAUAUUAUAUAUAUAUAAUAUAUAUAUAUAUAUAUAUAUAUAGAGUCGGCUACUAUCUUAUUAUAGAAUUGGAGCUAUUGUCCCCUAAUCAAAUCGUUUUGAUUUAUCGAAAUUUCAAAUUGAAAUCGGCCCGUUGAAAUUGAUUACACAAUUAGAAGUAUUUAAAACGCAAAUUUUGUAAUAUUUAAAAAUAUUAUCAAUUCAUCUUAAGAGUUAAAAAUAAACGGUCGUAAUGAAUAACUUUCUUAAAAUAGAGUUAGACUUUCUCAAUUCAUAAUCAGGUUUCAAACAUUAUCUAAAUAAUAUAAAAACAUUUUUAUCAAAAAUUCAAGCAAUUUGGAUUGCUUUACACCGUUAAACAAACAAGGCUCAUACAUGCCGUCAAAAAUUGUCAAUUUUACGCAACUUUGAUCACUAUGUAAAUAAUUUUAAAAUUUAUGAAUUUAGUUUCUAGAUAUUUCAAAUACUCUAGAUCAAUUUCAACGGCUCCGAUCAUCAUUCGGAAUCUGGAUCAUCAAAAACAAUUUGAUAGGACAAGUGCUCCUAUCCUAUUAAUAGGAUAGUAAAUCUAGCAUAUAUAUAUAUAUAUGAUAUAUAUUAUAUAUAUAUAUAUAUAUAAAGCUCUAUACAUCGAAGCCGCUUUAGGAACACUUGAGUCUCUCAUGCCUAAUAGCACGCAAGCACCUUCUCCUCUCUCUCUCUCUCUCUCUCAUCUCUCUCUCUCUUCUAUAUAUAUAUAGAUAUAUAUAUAUAUAUAUAGUGAGGCUACUAUGCUAUCGGAAGGCACGGAGCCUUCGUGCUUCAGUUCGUUUUCGAUGUUUGCAACUUUUGAAUCACGUCGCGCUCCGUUAAACUUGAUCUAAGUAUUUGAAGUACUUAAGAAAAUAAAUUUUAUUAUUUUCGAUAUCAUUGCUAGUGAUCGAAUGGGCUCAAAAUCAACAAAUUUCAAUGGUCGUAGUGAGCGUUUGCAAUUUAACGGUGUAGAAAUAUCCAAAUCAGUGAAAUUUUGAUAGAAAAUUCUUUAUACUAUAUAAAACAAAAUCAAUAUCUUUGAUUUAAAAUUUUAAUGUCUAUUAUCACAUUUGUAAGAUUUUUAUUUUCACCGUUGAUUUUAAAACCCCUUCGUUCACUAGGCAAAUGAUAUCGUAAAAUCAUAAAAUUUUUAUUUUCUAGUACUUCAAUAUCUAGAUCAAGUUUAACGAGCGAUCGCGAUUGAAAGUUGCAACAUAAGAAAAUGAAGUUGGAGCCACGGAAGGCUCGCGUGCUUCGAUAGCAUAAAGCCUCAUACUCAAUAUAUAUAUUAGUAUCAUUACUUAUAUUUAUAAUAUAUAUAUUCAUAGUAAGUACAAGCGGUCUGAUUUUUCAUCGGAAGUUCCGCUUAGGAACACGUUAGAGUCCUGCAUGCUCGCUAAUAGCACGCAGAAGAACCUCUCUCUCUCUCCUCCUCUCCCUCGGGUCUCUCUCUCUCUCACUAGUAUAAUAUAGAUAUGUAUAUUAGUACAGGUAUUAUAUAGUGAGGCUACUAUGCUUAUCGGAAGACACGGAGCCUUCGCGUGCUUCCAGUUGCAGUGUUUCGAUGUUGCAGACUUGUUGAAGUUCGACGAUCCAGGGCUCCUGGUUAAAACUCGCGACUCCAAUAGAGGAUUGAAAAGGUUCCGUAGGAGAAGAGUUAUAGAUGUUGGAUUAUUUUUUCGGAUAGUCAUUCUGUCCUAGUGUAUCGGAACUGCGCGCCGUCUCAAAAUCAACAAAUUGUCCAGAUGGUGUGCAGUAGGAGGUUUUGCAAGUUUGAACGGUUUUCGGUGUGAGGAAUAUCAAAUCACUGGUGAUAUUGUUGAUAGAAAGAUUCUCGUAUGACAGUAUAGGAAACUCUCAAAGAUUCCAAUAUCUGUUGAUUUAAAGAUGUUUAAUGUGCAUAUUAUACAUUUUGUAAGUAUUUUUGAUUUUGCAGCCGCUUGGAUUUUAGAACGCGCCUUCGGUUCACUUAAAUAAUGAGUAGUCGGUAUAAAAUCAUGAAAAGUUUAUUUGUCUUAGGUACUUUCAAGAUAGCGUGAUAGAUCCUAACGUUUAUACGUGAGGCGCGGAUCGGACGGAUUCGCAAAGCUUUGCCAACAUCGGAAGAAUGAGUGUUGGAAGGGCACGCGACAGGCUUCGGUUGCUGCCGGAAGUAGGAUUAUGAGUGCGUCACUCCGUAACUAUAGUAGGAUAUUAUAUAUAUAUAUAUAUAUAUAUAUAUAUAUAUAUGCGCCUACUAAUUGAAAAACACCUAUUUUUGACGUCAACAAGGAUUACCCCAGUAUCCACCCCUUUAAUCGGCGGCUUGGUUUCAGAUCUUAUUGAAAGAAUCGCAGUGUAGUUAGGCUUUCAUGUACAUUACACACACCUGCGUUUAACAAACACUGAUAUCCACAUACCAAUUAAGCAGCUGCGGAUUGCUUAUCAUCUGGGUCUUCCAGAUUCAAUGCUUGCAACAGCUUCGGCCAAGACUCCGGGAUGCCCCCGGGUAACUCAAACUCCAAGAGUUUCCCUCGUCUGCCGUAGAACUCCUCUACUGGCUCGCUCUGCAGGAAAAAGAAAAGAAAGAAAAAAACGAGAGGGAUUUUUUGCUUCUGAGAAAGAAUAUAUUGGAGAUUUGUAUAUGUUGGUUAAAAGUAGCCCCUAAAGAUUCAAUAUACAAGAGAAUACUGGAAAUAAUUAGAUUGCUAAAAGCUUGUCAAAUAAAUAAGACGUGAAAGCGAAAGUCAAGGCGCUAGAGGUCUAGAACAAACCACAGCAAGUAUCGGUAAUAUGAUGUGGAAGUACCCACAAUGAAAGGGUACGCUACAAAGUAGAAUACUCCGAACCAAUGGAGGUGAAAAGAACACGGCUGUUGUUUUUUCUUUCAGAAAAAAUUGUAGGUAUUUUGCCAUCAAUACCUGGUUUCAAAUAUCAGCAUCUAUUCAAAACUGCUUCUACUGAAAAAGUUGUCGUCCAAUUUGGUGAAAUGUAUUGUUCGAUACCAACAAGAGGCAGGUUAGGUUGUUCCCAAAGUAGAAUCACCAUCUGGUUAGCCAUUCUAAUCUAACCUUUAAAGCUUUGGAGAAUAUCUAAUUUGCCCCUGGUUUUCAAAAUUGACUUUUUUGUUUCCAAAUUUGCCUAAUUGCCUCUCUAAAAAAAAUGUGAGAAAGAUCUUUUUGUUACAAAUAUACGCCUGCCUUUGAGGGUUUAUUGGGGAGAUUUGAAAUUUUAGAGGGUAUUUUGAAAAUUAAAGGGUAAAUUUUGAAAAAGUGAAACAACAGUCAGGGGUAUAUAAAAAAUUGCCUCAUAUCAAAUUUAUAAACCAAGAUUGGGUACUCUGCACUUUCUAACACAAGCAACCAAGUGACUUCACAAUUACGGAACACUACCAAUAUACGCAAACUAAAUAAUUGAAACCCUCCUAUGAAGCAUUUAUGGAGGCAUAAAAAUUUGUAAAUUACUAAAUACAACACGGUUAUGAAAAGUUGAGCUAAUUUUGCAGGAAGGAGAGCAUAAGAAUCUGGAACGUACCAAAUCGUGAUACACGCGUAAUCGUUCCUUCACCACUUUUUCGGUGUCAUCUGAUCGAGUAAUGAGCUUCGACGCACAUUGUGGAGGAGGUAGAAGCGGAGCCAUGUAUAUGCCUGGCGUCCCAUUCUCGCCCUUGAUGUCAAUGGAGGCCACAUUGAAGUUCCCUCCACACUGACUGCAAAUCCUUCUCCCCAGGCACUUUGUGAGCAGCACAUCUUCUCGAAGCUUAAGGUUGAUCACCAGAUCGAUGUCAGUCACUCCCUCCAGUAUUUCCUAACAAAUCAGACACCAAGGGAUGGAAUUGGAAUGAGUAGAGCAUUUUUUAUGCAGUAAAUUUGAAACUUAAGCAGCUGCAAUUAAGUAUCUCAAUUGACAGUAAACUAGAUUUUCUGAGGGAACAGACAGUUUCCAAAGAAUUGAAGUUGAACCAUUCAUGGUAAAAUAUAGGAAACAAAAUUCAGGUUACAGAUUGUAAGCUCUGCAAUUAACAGCUAAAAAAUGGGAUUCAUGUUCUCAAAGCAUUUAUGUUAUCACUUAAUGCAAAAUUAUUUACAAUUCACCCAAUUAUUAUGCAUUCAAAAGACGGCUGUGGCUCUUGUUAUUUGUUAACAGGGGCGUUUUACCUCAAAGGAAUUCGCCCCUUGUUUUAAAUGGAAAGCUCUCUUUUUCUAUGGAUAAUACUUAGCACAAGUGACCAAAGGCUUAACGGUUGGCACCUAAGGUCUCAAGUUCAAAGCCUUAUUUCUUUACGUUUCCGCAAAUAGCAUGCUACCAUUCUCUCUCUCAAAAAAAGAAAAAAGAAAAAAGAAAAAAAGGAGAACACUCUUUUUCUAUAGGGCAAGUGCAAACAGGUGGAAUUCUGAAACAUAUGAAAUAAACUUCAAAGGUAGUAUACUUUUGCCAGCCGCUGGCGCCUAUGAAUAAAUUCUUACUCUUCAUACAAUGCAAAUUUUAAUACAGUGAAUAAAGACUCAGCAAAUUGCAAACAAAAACACCACGGAAACAAAGUAUUGUGAUGAUAUUGCGAGUCAAUGGCCGGUAAGAAUGAACAAAAGUAAAAAACUUUAUAAAACAGACUCCUGCAUUAGUAGACAGCAACAAGUAUGAUGACAUCAAUUACACAGGACAAUCAUGCACAAAAUCAGGGUCACUUAUCUUGAAGACAUCUUAUAAUGAAAACAGAUAGAAUACCAAGCUAAAUAUUAGACAAGAAGUAAAUAUUACUAUGUGUACUUACAAUCAGAACGCAUAGCUAGCUCACCGCUUGUCUUAUCGUUCGUGGAAAUCCAUCAAGAAUGAAUCCUGAUUCACCCUUAGCUUCUCCGUCUUCAAGGCGCUUCGACAAUAAGCUAAUGAUGAUCUCAUCUGAUACCAACUUGCCUUGAUUCACAAUCUCUGCCAGCUAAAGUACAAAAUAUGAAAUGAAUUAGCAUAUAUCAAAAUCAGUGCCUUCGAAGCACAUCAGAAGACGAUUCAAUACAAGCAGCAAAAAUUUCAAGUAACAUCUUCAGGAUCAGAGAAACUGCAGUGCUAUUUGGAGAAGCACUUUAUUAACAUGCCAACAAUACAUACUUAUAUUCAGGUCUAAGAAAAUACGCCCAACAAAACUUGCUUAAGAUUAGGGUAAUUUGUUUGUUUCCAAAGUGUCUUAUUCUGUAAGCAUAUCCUACUUGUUAACUUUAAAUCUCUACCAGAUAUAUGCAAAAGAAAAACCUAAUCUCGUUCCAUUUCAUUGUAAUGGUAUCGGCAAGAUCAACGUAAUGAAUCUCUAACCCUUAAUAAUUCUUGAAUCUAAAUUCUAAAGACCUACUCAUCCAAACUAGCCUCGAUAUGCCUAAUUAUACCGUAAUUUAGGAAACAGAACAGCGAAUCCCCCUUUAUCUCAUCAAACAAGAAACCCUAAAGAACACCUUAUGGAUCAAAGACACAACGGGAAAAGGCAAAGAUCGGGAGGGUACAACGAUCGUUUACCUCUUUGGCGAGGGGUCCGGACGAGGCGAGCUCUUCACGGACGAGGUCACCCGUGGCGAUGUGGGGGACGCCGAGGAGGUGGGAGAGGCGGCUCGCGUAGGUUCCCUUCCCCACGCCGGGGCACCCCAGGAACACCCACUGCACGUUCCAGCUCCUCGGAUCCCUCUUCGUCCUCCUCUCCGCUGUCUCUCCCUCGCGCCCCACGCUCGCCGCGAACGCGGCGCCUACCUCGGACGACGCCGCCGCCGCAAACCUCCGCGCCGCCGCCGCAGCCGCCGCCGCAGAGGCGGCGGCCCGGCCUCGCAUCAAGCGGUUUAGGAUCGCCAUCGCCGGAGCCGCGCGAGGGCGAGAGAGCGAGAGAGAGAGAGAUUUAGGGUUCGGCGAUGAUCGCGGAGAGGGUGGCGGGGACGAGGCGAAGAAAUGGAAUAAAAUGCGAGAAUAAAGAUGAGAAUAAGUUACUCGAGGAGGAGAACAGCGUAGGGCCGUAGCGAAUAAAUAAUGGGGAUAAAAAUAAACGAUGGGAUUUUUACUUAUUUUAUUGGGAAGGACAAUAGGAAUCUAGAAGAGAAUCCCAAUAAGAGGGUUUAAGACGGUUCCCGAAUUCAGAUGAACAACCUAUUACCCAUACAAAUUUACUCACUUUUUUUUUUUAAGAAAAAAAAACUAUACAAGACUAUUGUUUUAGGGUGACUUAUGAAUGACUUUUUUUUCUUUUUUUUUUUCAGGGACGUUAGACUUUUUUUUUUUAAUGUGAAGUAAUUAGACUUUGAGUUGGACCUCCAAUUUUAAUUAUUAAAUCUUUUAGGGAGAUUGUUGAUGUUGAUGUUGAUGUCCCGAUAAUUUUAUACAGCAUCUUUGAAUUUCUAGCUAUAUAUCUAAGUAAACCUUUCCACACUAACUAUGUAAGAAAUCCUUAACAAGCUUAACAACACUUAUGUUGAUGUAACCAUUUAUCCAGUUACAUAGGUUAUUAUUUAUUAACUGAAUUUGAUCGGAUUUAUAUAGUUACAAGUGUCAAAAUGUUAUAAUUUAAAGAAUCAGUGAGUAAAGUGUAAGGAAAAUUUUUUUGGGUUGCCGCAUAAUUAAAGAGCAGUGCUAUAUGUACAUCUAUAAAUUAAGCGUAAAUCUUACAUUUCACUAAUUUAAAUACUGCCAUAUUUUCACCGAUUUUAUAAAUUUUAUUUCAAUACCAAAAAUAAAAAAAAUUUAUAAAUCUUAGAAAGGUGAGAUGUAAGAUUGAUACCUUACGUGUGAUCUACAAAUAGUAUUUUUGUAAUUGAAUGACUUCUUAUUCCACUCAUAAGAAUAAUGAUAAAUUAUUCAUUGACCAAUGAUAGAAAGACACACUAGACUCAUUUUACUAUUGGAAGAUGAAAUUAUUAAAUAUGAUUAUUAUUUUCUUACUAAUUAAAUACUAUUGCUUGAAUUUUCCAAAUAUAUAUAUUUUUUUAAUACAAAUUAGCGCAAAGAUUGAAGUAUGAGGACAAAGCUUGUAUAAUUACAUGGUGGCAUCUGGGAUGCAAACGGAUCCAGAGGACGGAAAGGGUUUUUUUUUACCUUCUGUCAUGUUUUCUUGACGGAUCAAGGUGAAUUCAGAACAGAUUAACUUUAUCUUAUUUUUAGCCUUCACUUAAUAUCCCUAGUUGACGUGGCCUGAAUAAGUAGUCAACAUCAAAUCAUGGAACCGACCGUCUCUAGAGCAAGUGGUAAAGGAUUUGAUGGUUGGUACUCAGAGACUCAAGUUCGAAUUCUAGUUGAUUCGCAUUUUUAGCUAAGUUUAUUUCUAAAUUAAAUAAACGAAGCGGAUAGCCUGCUAUCUAUCUCUUAAAAAAAAAUAAAAAAAAAUAUCAAAUCAUGGUGUGCGACAUUGGGUUCCCUGGCCAAUAUGAAAACACGUUAUGAAAACACGUUACAUUUGAGGAACACAAAUCCAACGUGACUUGAUCAAACGUGCCCUCCCCAUCAACCACUAACUAAAAGGGAAAAAAAAAAAGAAGAAAGAAAAGCUACGUAUUCUUUUCGCAUUAAUGCAACCGCCAGCAUUGGACUAGUUCAUGAUGGAUCAGAAAUUUAAUGAAGCGUUAUAAAAAAGAAUUAGUUUAAAAAAAUAUAUUUGUGGAAAUUAGAUUCUUAUAAAAUACAACAUUUUCAUGUUUGGUUAUCCAAUGAUCUUGCAUAAACUAAAUUAUAGCUGUUCUCGAUAUCAAAUUUAAUGUUUCAAGAGAGCUAGAGGAGGAACAAAUUUGUCAUAAACACAUCAAUAAAAUAUAAAACAAAAUUUCCUCUACAAAGAGAACUGUGUUAAUUACACAUUAAUUAAUUAAUGAAUAUGAUUUCAAAAGAAUACACUGGCCCACCCACACACGCCAUUCACAAUUUCAAAAGAAUUCAUGUUUAAAUACAAACAAAUAAUUAAAAAAAAAAUGCCACACAUGAUCAUUUGUUCUUAGUUAACUAAUCCGCAGAUCUUUCUAAUCUCGCCAGCCGCGCCUGCCAACGGACUAAUGUCCCCCAUCUUCACCAUCGCUGCUGCGAAGUCGGCGUAAAACGCGGCCCUGUUCGUGCUGUAACCCCUCACAAUGUCGUCGGUCGCGCCUCCGUUGAACAGAACCUGGUCUGAGUGCAGGAGCCCCUUCUGCUGCAGUAGAUUCUUGUAGUAGUUGUUGUCGAACGAAUUCGGCGUGACCAAAUCGAGCGGGGCGAGGUUGGUGUUGCCGCCCGCUGAAGGGCACCGCCUUCGCCGUGUGCUUGCGAACCCCGCGUCGAUGUCGGUCUCGUUGUAGAUGCGGUUACGGAACGUGACACAUUGUGCUUGGCCUAUAGUGUGGGCACCUGCAAUGGAUUUGAUUUUGUUAAUUAUUACUCAUUAAGUAAGUAGAGAUUGAUUAAUUUAGGGUGAUUAGUUAUAAGUUAAUUACCAGAGAGGGCAACCAUGUCUUUGACACUUAGGCCCUGUCGAGCAAAGGAGGAGACGAGGGCGUCGAGAUCAUCGAAAGCGGUCGGAAGGUCGGCCCGAGCCAAGUCUUUGUUGGCUGUCGUUGAGUCUCGUCUUCCUAGCUUAACCGUCCACGUCGGACCGCCCACCUGUUACAACAUUUAUGAAUUGAUGAUCAAGUUAAGUUGUGAUUAUAAGCUCGCGCAUUUUGAUUUUAUCGUCUGUUUAGCCUAACUUUUAAAAUAGCUUUACUGCUUACGAAGAUAUCUGUCAUAGAAAAACUUAAGAGCUUUGCCUUUGCGCUAGAUUAUAAAUAAAACUAACAUGAAUCUUUGAAUCUAAAGCAUGUAGAAUUUGAGAUUUUAAGCUUCUACUUUUAGCUUCUGUAGGAAGUUGCAGGUUAGAUUAUUUAACUUAAAAAUUUUAUAAAGUUUUUUUGAACAGCUCUGCUUAAAUACUACUUUUAUAGAAUUUUAUGUUGGAUUUAUUGAACAAGUACUAAUUUAGGAAUAAUGCAUGCUAGCUUGCACCUACAUAUUCAGAAGAAUCUCUUGCGACAACUGCGAGGAUGUCGGCACACGACAUGACCCCCGGGCACACCUUCUCAACUGCAGACUUCACGCCGUCGAUCACUUCGAAGCCCCUGGCUGACUUGAAAUUCUGGAGUGCGUUCUGCUCGCUCACGAUGUUUGGAGCAUCGACAAGCAAAAGCGACGCAUCACAUCCCUAAAACCACACAUGCGAAAUCGAUCACGAACAUUCGAAAUUUUUUUCUUCUAAAAUAGCACAUAUAUCUUUCGACGGCAAUAUUACAUACUUGGACGAAGCAAUCGUGGAAGUGGAGGCGGAUGAGCGAGGCCGCCAUGCGGCGCUCCUUGGUGAUCGCGGUGCGAACGGCAGCGCGGAUCGUCGAGAGAGCUUGUGGGCAUGUGUAGUCAUAGUAGUUUGGUGUAAGUUGUGCUUCACAAGUGAAAGUGGAGAGCAGCAGCAAUAGAACAGUAGCAGCAAAACUUGUAAUAAUAAUGUGGAAACCAGAGCCUUUAGAAGUAGUACUCAUUUCUAUGGGUUCUUAGUGUCUCCAAAUAUGUAUAUAAGAGAGAGAGAAAUAGAGAGAGAGGUGUUUGUAAAUGUGAGGAGUGUGAGAAGGUGUUGUAGUAGAGGAUGGAGUGGAGAAACAAACACAAAUGGCGAAUUUAUAGGGUUCUAAAAACAUUGAAUAACAAGGAAAUAAGAAACUUUCAACGAUAUAAGAUAAAGGUUUGCCAGGUCUUCUACCAACCAAAAGUUUAGGGAAAACUUCAAAAACCCCCCCUGUGGUUUCGUGCAUUCUCACUUUCCUACCCUGUGGUUUAAAACGUAUCAAUUUGCCCCCCUGUGGUUUCGUUUUUAUCUUUUUGUUAUCAAUUUUAUUAUUAUUUUUUUUAAAAUCAGUGACAAAGUUAAAAUUAAAGGAUACUAAAGUGACUAUUCGAUAAAUAUAGAUGGUUAUCUGAAGUUUUUUGUAUAUAAUUUAACGAAAUAUUAACGAAAAAGCUUCCGAAAAGAUAAAAACGAAACCACAGGGGGGCAAAUUGAUACGUUUUAAACCACAGGGUAGCAAAGUGAGAAUGCACGAAACCACAGGGGGGGUUUUGAAGUUUUCCCUAUUUUAUGAUUUGUCUCCGUCCUAUGAAAUUAUUGCUUGCGCGCCGUGUACGUGUAUCCUUACAUCUCAUGCACCGCAUUCAAUAUUUGCCGCUUGAUAUUUUGAAAUCAAAGUGUAAUUAGAGAAAGUUAAUCAAUCAUAUCUACAGGCCUAUCCUAUCGGAUAGUCGCAAAAAAAAUUAUCAGUAUAAAAUAUUUUUUUUUUUUGAGAGAGAUAGAUAGCACACUAUCCGUUUCGUUUAUUUCAUUUAGAAAUAAACUUAGCUGGAAAUGUUCGAACUUAGAACUUUGGGUACCAACCACCAAACCUUUUGCCACUUGCUCUAGGGACGGUCGGUUAUCAGUAUAAAAUGUUAAGAAGAACAAUUGCUAGUCCUAUAUAUUGAAUAGAAGAAAGAACUAUAUCUUUACUAUUUUGAUCGAUUGCUAGCAUUUGUUAAAUUAUAUGAAACGGUGUUUCUCUUAGAAUGGUAAAGCUGCUAUAAACGGUAUUUUUAAUAUUUAUACUAAAUGCUCCCUCCAUGUCUUUGCUCAAGGUAUUUUUAUAAAUUUAAGAUGUAGACUUAUAUUAAAGGGGCAAUUGUCUAUAUACUCCUGAAAAGUUUUCGAUUUUCUUAUUUACCCCUCUUAAAAGGCUAAUAUUGAAAAUACCCUUCUUAUGUUUCAAGUUUUUCUAAAAUAUCCCUGGAGUUAAGUUCCAUUAGUGAGCUGCCGUUAUCUCUGAAAAAUUACCAUUUUGCCCAUUCCAAUAUACCUUUGUACCGUAACAAACUUUUUUUAUAUAUCCUUCAUAUAGCAAAUACUUUUCUUAUUUGCCCUUCAGUCGGAUCCGGAGCAGAGGGCGUGCAGGGGUCCAAUGGCGCUGCGGCCCUCUUGCUCCUGGCGCCGGCCAAGGCAGCGGAGGAGGAGAAGGACGACGAGAGCGGCGACAGAUGGGAUCGUCGCUGCGGCCCUCUUGCUCCCGGUGCCGGCCAAGGCGGCGGAGGAGGUGGACGACGGCGACGAUGAGAGCAGCGGUGGAAGAAGACGACGAGAGCGGCGAGAGGGAUGGUGUUGGAGGUGAAGGUGUGGGAGGUGGUGGUGGUCUGGGAGGAGAUGAGGCGAGGUGGAGGCGGAGGAGCCGGCCGGUGGUGGCGACCAAGUUGGGAAAGAAAGAGAAGAUAAUCUUAGGGAUUAGUAUAAUAAGGUAGGGACAAAAUAGGUAUUUUAUUUAGAUUUUAACUUUAGUAUAGAUUUAACCCAUGUUUAACCCGAGUUAAGCUAACAGGGAAUAACUGCGGGGUAUUUUGGAAUAACGAUGGAACAUAUUAGGGGCAUUUUAGAAAGAAAAAAAAAGUAGGGGUAGAUUGAAUAUUUCCGAAUGCAUGAAGGGUAUAUAGGCAAUUAUCUCUAUAUUAAAUAGGAAAAACUUAUAAAUAGCCCCUCUUUUUUUUAAAAAAAAACUUAAUUUAUCAGAGAAAAAUAUUUUUAGUAUUUUAUAUUUGACAGAAUUAUAUCUAAUAAACUAAAUUCUAAUUUCAAAGUUCCGUGGUGUAUGAGAUGGAUAAGAAUACACAGGGAACAAGCAAUAAUUUCUCUCGUUGGUCUAACAGCGACGAAAAAUUCUAGAAUACAACGGGUAUAUUAGUGACGUGGCGUAACAAACCAAUCAAAUUAAUCCUUUUAAGAAUAUAUGUCCCAUCAUGAUUGUAAAAAAGUAUUUUUAUUGUACUUUUAUUUAAAAAGAAGGAAUGUGAUUGGCUUGUUAUUGAUGACGUGGUGCAAGUGUGACAGUGUAGAAUUCCUCAACAGCGACGGCCGCGUUUUGGCCCGUGUGAGGGUCACCAAUAACGAGCUCUACUAUUCAAAUAUGACGAUAGACACGUGGUAUUUGCGAUUAUGCAAUGUAAUAUCAUAUAAGGAAAAAUUAAAAUAUAUUCUUGUUCCAAACUGCAAGCCAGUUGAAUAAGAGCGGGCUAAUUUGUGUAUCAUUCUAACGUUGUUUUGAUCACAUAUAUGACGCAAAAUCAAUUACUGAUUGAUCAUAGUUAUAUACCACAUGAUCACUUCUAAAUUUUUUUUUUUUUUGAUUAAAUAGGGAUAUAUACCCUAUUUGAUAAAGGGAGUACAAAUUAAAACAGCGAAGCUGCUCAUUGAGCUAGCUUUAGGAAGUAUAUCUGAACCACUAAUAACAAGGGUAAAAACAAUUAAAACGAAGCACACAUAGGACCCCAAAAUGGAUUCCCAGCGCUUUACGACUGAAACAACAAUCGUUCCCAGUUCUUCGUACGUAGAGUGGUGAUUGCUGAAGAUCCGUGAAUUCCGCUCUUAAUUUCCAAAGUUCCCAAUAGGCUCCAACAAAGCAUAGGUCGAAAAGUGCUCUUGCUGCUCCCGACAAUGACUCUUUGCCGUGCGUCCAUCUGGUCGAGACGUCCCCAACUCGGUUGGCCAUUAAUUCAGCAGUGAGUGGGGUGUUAGAAAGGAGCAGAUUCCACAGGGACACUUCUAAAUUUUAGAAAAAAUUUCCUAUAAUGCGUAGAUUUGAGUUUUGAAAUACAACUAAACUAUAAAUAAACCUCAUUUUGUGAUGAAAUUGGGGGAAACCUUUCAACCUUAACUAUGUAACUUAUCUAAGAAAUCCUUAACUGCACUUAUGCUGAUACAAGCAUUUAUCAAUUUUAUAUGGUUAUCAUUUAUUAACUGAAUUUAAUCAGAUUUAUGUAGUUACAAGCGUUAGUGUGUUAUAAUUUAAAGAAUCUGAGAGGCUUGUAAGGGAAGAAGCUUUUUGGGCUGCAGUAUAUAUAAUUGAAGAGCAAUGCUAUCUAUCCAUUUAUAAAUUAGGUGUAAAUUUUACAUCCCAUGCACUAAUUGAAAGGUUUUAUUUUUAAUACAAAAAAUAUAAAAAUCAUAAAUCUUAGAAUAGAUGAGGUGUAAGAUUUAAAUCUGCAUAUAGAUGUAUAGAUAGUGUUUUCUGUAACUGAAUGGUUUCUUAUUCUACUCAGAAUAAUUAUAAAUUAAUCAUUGACCAAUGAUAGAACAUACGAGGCUCAUUUUACUACUGGUAAAUGAAUUUGUUAAAUAUAAAAAUAUUUAAACACCGUUCUCUACCAGUUUAAGUUUUUAAAGAAUAACGGUUAUUUCGUAUUAUUUAAUAGAAUUAUUAAAUAUGAUUAUUAUUUUCUUACUAAUUAAAUACUAUUGAUUGAAUUUUUCAAAAUAUAUAUAUAUAUAUUCUGAACACAAAUUGUCACAAAAAAUGAAGUGCUAGGACAAAGCUUAUAAAAUCGCAUGGCAGUGCUAGGGAUGGAAACAGGACGAAUCAUCUGAAUCUGAGGGUGGAAAAGGUUCUCCUCUUUGGAUGAAUUCGCGACGGAUUGUUUUUUAUUUUUUUUAUCUUUAUUUAUAACUUCAUUCGGAAUCGAUAAGAACCAACGAAUCUUUGGUAAAUUUUUAGCAGAUCGAAAUGAAUCCCGAGAAGAAAGAGUCUCCUAUCUUCUGCUUUAUUUUUUAUGUUCUAUUUUUUGACAGAAUAGGAUGGAUUUUGAACGAGUUAUUCUUUAUUUUUUUGGCGACGAAGCCUGACUAAAUAAGCACUCCACCAUUCCGAAUGCAUUUGCAUCCUUAGUUGACAUGGCUAAAAAAGUACUAGUCAACAUCAAAACAUGGGGCGCGACGUUGGGUUCUCUGGCCAACGUAAAAACAUGUUUUACAUUUGAGCAACUCAAAUUCAACGUGACUUGAUCAACCAUCUCUCUCUCUCUCUCCAAGCAAACAUGCCCUCUCCAUGAACCACUAAUUAAAAUAAAAAAAAUGCUGCGUAUUAUUUUCGAACCCACAUUGGACUAGUUCAUGAUGGAUCAGGAAUUUAAUGAAGCGUUACAAAAAAGAAUUUAAUUAAAGAAAAUUUAUUUGUAGAAAUUAGAUUCUUAUAAUAUAUAAUAUUUUCAUGUUUGGUUUAUCCAAUAAUCUUAUAUAAAUAAUAGUUGUCGCGCGAGAGAGAGGAGGAACAAAUUAAUGUAAAAUAUAAAACAAAGUUUCCUCUACAAAGAGAAGAGUACAAUUACAUAAAAUGAACAUGGCCAAACCCAAUUUUAUUGGGCAGUGGCUUAUUAAUUAUCAUUUUUAUUAAUUACUGAAUAUCAUUUCGAAAGAAUUCACCCGCCCACCCACACAUUUCUUUUUUUAAAAAAAAAACGAAAAUGUCACACAUGAUCAUUUGUUCUUAGUUAACUAAUCUGCAGACCUUUCGAAUCUCCCCCGCCGCACCCGUCAACGGACAAAUGUCCCCCAUCUUCACCAUCGCCGCCGCGAAGUCGGCGUAAAACGCGGCCUGGUUCGCGCUGUAAACCCUCACAAUGUCGUCGGUCGCGCCUCCGUUAAACAGAACCUGGUCCGAGUGCAGGAGCCCCUUCUCCUGCAGCAGAUUCUUGUAGUAGUUGUUGUCGAACGAAUACGGUGUGACCAAAUCGAGCGGGGCGAGGUUGCAGUCGCCGCCCGCGGAAGGGCACCGCCAACGCCGUGUGCUCGCGAACCCCGCGUCGAUGUCGGUGUCAUUGUAGAUGUGGUCACGGAACGAGACACAUCGGGCUAGGCCGAUAGUGUGGGCACCUGCAAUGGAUUUGAUUUUGUUAAUUAUUAAUCAAUAAUUAAGUAGAGAUUGAUUAAGUUUAGGGAACUUAGUAAUUAGUUAAGUACCUGAGAGAGCAACCAUGUCUUUGACACUAAGGCCCUGUCGAGCGAAGAUAGAGACGAGUGCGUCGAGGUCGUUGGUAGCGUUCGGGAGGUUGGCCCGAGCCAAGUCUUUGUUGGCCGUCGUCGAGUCUCGUCUUCCUAGCUUAACCGUCCAUGUCGGACCGCCAACCUGUUACAACAUUUAUGUAUCAAUCAUCAAGUUUAAGUCGUGAUUAUAAGCUCGCGCAUUUUGAUUUUAUCGUCUGUUUGGCCUAACUUCUAAAAUAACUUUAUCAUCUCUUUUUAAAUAGUACUUCAUAGAAUCUUCAGUCGGGUGAUUGAACAAGUACUCGUGAAAAAUACAUGCUAGCUAGCUAGCACUUACAUAUUCAGAAGAGUCUCGUGCGACGACUGCGAGGAUGUCUGCGCACGACACGACCCCCGGGCACACCUCCUCGACCGCAGACUUCACGCUGUCGAUCACUUCGAAGCCCCUCAGCGACUUGAAACUCUGGAACGCAUUCUUCUCGCUCACGAUGUUCGGAGCAUCGUCGAGCAGAAGCGACGCAUCGCAUCCCUAAAACCACACAUGCAUCAUUUCAAACUCAUUAGAAAUCGACCACAAUUUUUCCUUCUAAAAUAGUGUAUAUAUAUUUCGACGCGCGGCUGUAAUACUACUUACUUGGACGAAGCAGUCGUGGAAGUGGAGGCGGAUGAGCGAGGCCGCCAUGCGGCGCUCCUUGGCGAUCGCGGCGCGAACGGCGGCGCGGAUCGUCGAGAGAGCUUGUGGGCAUGCGUAGUCAUAGUAGUUUGGUGUAAGUUGUGCUUCACAAGAGAAAGUGGAGAGCAGCAGCAAUAGAACAGUGGCAGCAAAACAUGUGGUAAUGUGGAAACUACAACCCUUAGAACUCAUUUUUUUAGGGUUCUUUGAGUCUCCAAAUAUGUGUAUAAGAGAGAGAGAAAUAGAGAGAGAGAGAGAGAGAGGUGUUUGUAAAUGUGAGGAUCAGUACUGUGAGAAGGUGUUGCAGUAGAGGAUUGAGUGGAGAAGGAAACACAAAUAGCAAAUUUAUAGAGUGCACAAAAUGUUCAACAAGAAACUUUCAAUAGGACAAAUUAAUUAAGGUUUGUCCCGGUCUCUACCAAACAAAAAUUUAUUUAUUUGUCUCAGUCCUGAGAAAUUAUUGGUCGCACGCGGUUUAUCUUUACGUCUCAUGCGCCACUUUCAAAUAUUUACUACGUGAUAUUUUAAAAUCAAAUUUUAAUUCGAGAAAUGUGAUUGAUCAUCAUAUAUAUCUACUGACCUAUCAGAUAGUCGCAAAAAAUUGAUAGCAUAUAGAAUUUUUUUUUUUUUUUUUUUUUUUGAGAGAUAGAUUACACGCUACUCGCUUUGUUUAUUUCAUUUAAAAAUAAAUUUAGCUAGAAAUGUGGAUCAACUAGGAAUCUAGGAUUUGAUUGCAUAAGAACUAUAUAUCUAUAGUUGUACGUUUUGAUUGUAUAAGAACUAUUUCUAAUAAAUUAAACUAAAUUUGAGAUCUCUGAAAUAGAAUUUUAAAUGUGUAGAUGUACAAAUGCACGGAGAGCAACCAAUAAUUUCUCUUGCUGGUCUGAUAGCGAUAUGAAUUUUAAAAAUCAGGUUGAACAGCAACUCGAAAAUAUUACUGGGUUAUUGGUUCAACCACACUGAUGGAACCAAUAACAUCAAAAUAUUUAUUUUUUUUUUAAUUUUAUUAUAUAUAUAGAAUUAGACUACUAUACUAUUUAUAGUACCGGAGCUCCGAUACUAUAGUGUUGUUUUCGAUCUUAGGGUGCUCAAAUUAACAAUUCAUACCGUUAAAUAUGAUCUAGGGUAUAUCAAGUUCUUAGAAAUAAAAUUUUAGUUUUUUUUCGAUAUUGUUUAUUUAGUAAAUAAAUUAUGUCAAAAUGGACGGUGGAAAUUGAAUAAUCUUUAAAAUUUGAGUAUAGGAUUUUAAAAUUCAAGAUCAAGAAUAUUAACCUUAAUCUAGAUAAUUUAAAAUAUUUUUUUAUCAAAAUUUGAAGAAAUCUAGAUUCUUCUACACCGUUAAACUCCAAACUCGCCAUAAUAGCCAUUAAAAAUUGACAAUUUUGAAAUGGUUUGAUCAUAAAGUAAACUAUAUCGAAAAAAUAUAAAAUUUUAUUUCUAAAAACUUUAAAUACCUUAGAUCAGUUUUAACGGUGUGGAUCGUUGAUUUAAACACCCUAAAAUCGAAAACGAAACUAUAGUACCAAAGCCCCGGUACUAUAUAUAGUAUAGGAGACUAGCUAUAUAUAUAUAUAUAUAUAUAUAUAUAUAUAUAUUAUUGUUCUAAUAUCAAACUAAAUACAAAAUACAAAUUUUCAGACUAAAUUAAGUAAAUGUAAGUUUUCAAGUUUCACUUUUCAUAAUAGAAAAUAAAAUCAUCAAAACCAGUCAUAAGUAAAACUAAUAAGAAAAAAAAGAUAAAAAUCAAAAAAAAAUUAAGCCAAUAUAUUCAGAAGUGGACCGAUUCACUGGUUAAAAGAGAAAGAACUGUUUAAAACUUUGAAACUUCGAAUGACGAAUUGUAAUUCAAUAGAAGUUCAGAUAAUUUGAAAUUUUCUUUUUUUAAAAAAAUUAGAAGUGUUAGUUGGGAGCAAGAACAUUUCUUUUUCAAAUUUUAGAUUUUCAGUAAAGAUUAGUUCCAGUCUUUUUUUUGACGAGGCUCUUCAUUUUGAAUCACACAGCAGCUAAUUGUUCAAAUAGAGUCAUGCACGUGCUGUAAUGGCGUGUGGGAAGUGGUCUUUUAUGUGACAGUUGCAUUAUAUUACUAUAUUUCAAGCCAAUCAACUUUUUUUUUUAAAAAAAAAGUUAUUAAUAUAAAUUAUUUUUUAAAAAUUAUGAUGGAAUGGAUAAACAUCAGGGCAGAAUUUGAUUCAUUCGGGAUAUAGAUGAUGUUGUGCUUCUGAUAUAUAUCAUGUGGAUAUAUUUUAUGUCAGCCGAAGGAAGAGAGAGAUUGAGAAUUAUUUAUUUCAUUUUGUUACUUGAAAGGAAAAGGAUAAUUUAUAUUGGAUAUAAAAAGAAAGAGAACUACGUAAGAAGGCCAGAAAAUUAUACUCCGAGUAUGUUUGUUCUACCAAAAGUGAAGAGGGGUGAACCAACCUUUUACCGUAAAUACAAAUUUUUGUUGUUGGAUUUAUCGUAACUUCACUUUCGAUCUCUUCAAUUUUUAUCAUGUUAACUUUUUACUGAAUUAACAAAUGAAAUUGGAGGGACUGCAGUUCUACAAGUACACAAAGAAACAAUGAAAUGGCUGUGAAUCUAUCAAUUCCUUAUCCUUCCAUGUUUACCUGACCUUCACUUGUACUGUUGUAGAGUCCCCAGAUUUACCUGACCUUCACUUGUACAAAUUCCGCAUUUCUGCUGCUCAUUUCUUUUAAAUUAUUGUAACAAAAUAAGAUAAGCUUAUUAAGUUAGAGAAUUCAAGCCCAUAAUUACCUACCAGAUCUUCUCUUUAUUUCACAUGGCAAUAUUAAUUAAUAUAUUUUUAUUUUUAAUAAAAUUCUUUUAAUCCAAAUCACUCUGAGGUGUUACGACUAACUAAUCAGACCUAAUCCGACCCAUUCUUAACCCAAACCUGGCUUUCCCGUUUACUAAAAGAACCGAAUAUGAGCCACAACUUGAGCUUGAUUUGUUAAACUAGCCGAGUACAAAGCGGCAUAACUCGCUCAAGCUUGGCUUAGAAAUAUCCUGACAUUCCUAUGAAUAUUUUGAAGUGUUAGUGCCUUGUAUGUUUUCUUUGUUUUCUUAAACCUUAGUCAAGCUAUAUGCCACCUGUAAUAAUUAAGACUUGAGCCAACAAUUCGAGGUCGAGCUUAGACUACGAAAACUUUCAGCUACAAUUUGGUAAAGAGCCGAGCUCGAGCUUGGCUCUUUACCAAAUUUCCCACUCGAGCAAGGCUCAAUUACACUUUCGUACAUAUAAUAAUAAUAAUUGGCUAUUUUCAAGAUGUCACUACUUUCGGCAUCUAUUUUUUUACUCAACAAACGACUGCCUACCGCAGCGCAUGAGUACAGUGUAACAAGGCUUUGGAAGAAAUAUUGCAGUAGGAUUGAUAGCCGCACUUACUAAACUUUCAGCUACAUGAUGGCAAUCUAGCUAGAAAAAAUUAGUAUUAUCUUUAAAAGACGAGACUCAAGCGCAGCUCAAGUUUUUCAUCGUAUACAUUCAUUUACACUGGAUUAUUUUAACCUUUCUUCAUCUAUGUUGUCAAGUUCCUACUAUUUUAUGAAUGAAUAAUAGUUUGCUAUUUUAUUCUAAAAAAAUAAUUAGGCAAAUACAUGUCCAAAUUAACAUGGAAAACUCUCUCUCUCUCUAUAUAUAUAUAAUAGAUCUUGUGUGUUAUUAGGAGAACGAAAGCCUCCGUGUUCCUGAGCCGUUUUCGAUAACGAAGCUUUCAAAUCGACAACCGAUUCCGUUAGACGAUCUACUGUAUUUGAAGUGUCUAGAAAAUAAAUUUUACGAAUUUUCGAUCAUUUAUCUAGCUAUCAAAAGGGUUCAAAAUAAACGGCUGAAAAUAAAAAUUUUACAAAAAAUAAUAAUAUAACACUAAAAUUUUCGAUUAGAAAUAUUAAUUUUGAACCCUUUCGAUCGCUAGGUAAAUGAUAUCGAAAAUUCGCAAACUUUAUUUUUUGAAUACUUCAAAUACAAUAGAUCAAAUCUAACGAAGCCGAUCGUUGAUUCGGAAACUCCAUUAUUGAAAACAGCUUAGGAGCACGGAAGACUCCAUGCUUCUAAUAGCACAUAAGGCCUUAGGAGCACGGAGGACUCCGUUCUCCUAAUAGUAUAUAAGGCCUCUAUAUAUAUAUUAUAUAGGAAAGAAAGAGGGCUCAUACAUAUCCCAAAGAGAAACUUUUAUUGAGUGCCAAGCUAAAGCCACAGAGAGAAUUAUCAACCUCAAUGCAACAGAAAAAACAACCACUCGAAUUAAAUUACAUCCGGGAUAUCUGAAGGGGAACCAUAACUUCAGUACUCAUCUCCUCCCUCAGAACAAUCUGGAAGAGAUCAGAGAUACCGUGGAGCAGCGAGAGCCGCCUUCGGCAGUCCUCCGCAGCCGCGAUACCCGAUGAGUAGGCCCCGUGAACAGACCCAGAAUGAUCGACACUGGCGGCCUCCCCGGCAAAGUACAAGUUGUCCACAGGGGCGCAAAACCUUUCAUAUAAGUCGGCUGGCUUUCCUACUAAGUCGCACGAAUAGGACCCAAGCGAGUCUGGGUCCGUCCCCCAGCGCGAGAAUAAGUAUUGAAUCUGCAAUAAAUCAUCAACAUUUUCAAUUUUAUUAAGGAGAACAGCUUCGCAGUAAAAAAUUUGGUAGAAACUUAGCCCCGAAGGUUCAACCCUGAUUUUCAAGCACUUGUCAGAGUUGAUUAAAUAAUUUAUCAUCCGAAGUUUGUCUGCAUAACAAUUAAGUCCAUGUCAGCAUCAUCUGCUGCCAACGUGAAUCUUAACAAUGUCACUGAACUUCUAUAAAUUAUGUAAAGUGGAAUCUUCUCCAAGAUGAUAGACAGGCGGGGCUUAAUUGUUACGCAUGGCGAAUAAUAAGAUCUAGAUUAAUAAUUUGGGAAAUCUAACAAUCAUGAAGAGUAAGGACUUACAGGCUCUGCAGCAUCUGGGAGCAUCUUCCUAAGCUGCGCCAUCACCAACUUAACCGCUUCUUCAUCUGACAACUUUUCUAUAUCGUAUGCGAACCUCCCCGCAGCCAUGUAGACAAGAACAGGGUGGCCUGUCGCCUUGUGAAGAUUGAGGAAAUAGCCACAGGCAUAUGAUGUCGGGGCCACCGUACCUAAGACCUCUACAUUAGGCCAGAAAACAGUACUAAAGCGAAGAGCUAUCUUGUUUUCAUUGCCGACGCCGAGAUCGGAGAUAGCUGAGACUUUCCAUUCUGGUAAUUCGGGUUCAAACUUGAUUGUGUUUGCCUUAAGUACCCCAAGAGGCACGGUAAUUAUAGCAGCAUCGGCGACAAAGGUUGUUCCGUUCUCCACAGUCACUAUAACUCUGUUAUACCUCUGAAUGAUUUUCGCAACCCUAGGAACCAAGAUGAGUGAAGGAUGGUAAGGAUUUGAAUAACAAAGUCUCGAAUGUUCAAGUACUAUGUAGUGUUAAAAGGAGUACUAGAAAGACCUUAACUCUAUAACUUGGAGCAGAAUAAGCAGUUUGUUAUUGCAGAAUAGUUUAAAAAUAGUUGUUGAAGCAGCAGAUAUGUAUUGCAGAAGAAUUUAGAAAUAAUUGUUCACAUUAGAUCCCCUUGAAUAAGCAGUUUGUUAUUGCAGAAUAGUUUAAAAAUAGUUGUUGAAGAAGCAGUUAUGUUAUUGCAGAAUAAUUUAGAAAUAAUUGUUCACAUUAGACCCCCUCGAUUGAUCAAAAGACCAUAAGAUUCAUUGCCAAGUAAACAUCAAGCUAUUUGCACAACCACUCCUAUAAAGGACUACAUGUUUACUUGGGUGAAGCAUGUCAAAUAGCCAAUAAUAAGACUACACGACUACUUUGAGAUAGCAAAUAUUACUAGAUGUCACAGUAAUGUAGAAACAUAACCUAUAUUCAGAGAUAAGGAAGAUACUUGAAAUGACACAAGAUAAUUAUGUUUGUUAAGAGACCCUAGCAUGCCCCUUGAUAGCAAUAGCAUACCUGUGGUUCAAACGGAUAUCAAGGCCUUCUGCAAGUGCUUUUAUAACAGGAUAGUAACCUUGCACCAUUAGUCCAUGACCACCAGUAAGAACAUGCUCCUGCAUAUUUCGAAGAUCAGCAACAAUGCCAAAAAAAUAAAUCACAAGCUAGAGAUUGGUUUUCACAAUUUUUCCUUAGGAUCUUUCAACAGCGACAUUAAAUUAAGCAACACAAUGCUAUAGUUUGUCUAAGCCAUAAAGAGACAAAGUAGCCAACAUACUACCCUGAGGAUAAAAUAUAAAUUCUUAGCGUGAUCACAUUAUAUAAUAAAGUAUGUGAUAGUUUGGUGAGUAUACGUAGUUGGCUAAAGCAUAGAAUCUUUAAUUUAUAUGUAGAAAUUUUUCCAUAAUUUCUUACCUGAUCCCAGUUUUUCAAAGAUAUAGUAUCGACAUCUGCAGCAAACCAUGCCUCCAUUCUGCAAAUGUACCAUUGUAACACUUCAUAUGCCAAACCCUCUUGCCUACACAAUGAAUAGAAUACAUCAGAAAACCCCUAAUAAGAUGAUAUUGAAAGCAUGUUCGUAUUCUAGUUGAGUACAGUGGCUUUAUCCAUACCUUAGAUGUGGAUGCCUCUCAAGAACAAUCGAGAUUGCUUGCUGAAGAGACAUAUCAUUGGCAUGUUCAUCACGCACUUUCACUGUCUGUAAUACUAGAAAGUUUCAGUCUCAUAUCUCCUUCGCAAAGAAGCCAUAGGAUGAAAACACAUAAAUGGACGUAAAUGGUAUACCUCUUUAAGGAUUCUCUCAAACGUUUCCCCAACUUCAAUGACUAGCUGUUGUGAAACUUGAUGUCCAUCCCUACCAAACAAAGCAUAGCUACGCAAACCAUAAAUAUGCAGAUUUGUUAGACCAGAAAUUCAAAUUUGGCAAUCUUGAAGAUUUUUAGUAUAAUACAGAAGAACGAAAUGCCUGCACACAUAAAGCUAAAAUGGAAAGGAGGCAAAUAUCAAAAUAAAUAUGUACCUCUCCAAAUCAUGAUCAUACAAAACAGAGUUGUCACCACUAGUGCGGUAUAAUUUUAGCCCCAGGCAACGGAUCAAUGGUGCCAAAGAAUUUUCAUUGCAUACACCAUGUAACCUGUAUGAAAAAAAGGGGGGGGUCAUAAGACAAAGUUACAUUUCCUUUCAAUAAAAAGACACUAGUACAGAAAUUUCUCGAUAAAAGAUGAUAUUCACCAUGACGCUCCCAUGUCAAUUGGGCAGCCAAAAGAAUAAUCCGUAUGCACACGGCCACCAAGACGAUUCCGUGAUUCUAAUAAAGUGACCUGCCAUUAAAUGAAUGAUAAGUUGACCAAUAAGUGAUACCAAAAGAUUCUUGGGCAUGCCCAAGGUAAUGAAGGAACAACACUUCCGAUUACAAAGCAAUCUAAGGCAGCUUGUAAAUCGUACUAAGAACUAAUUAAAAGAAAAGCAGGUAAAAAGAAGAAGAAAAGGAGAUAAAAGGGAAAGGACAAGAACAGGUAAAAAUUGGUCCAAGUUCCUAGAAAAUUUUUAUGUUGUGCUAGUUUUUACCCUAAAGGAAGCAUUAGACAAUGCGCGCGCAGCAGCAAUUCCUGAAAUCCCUCCACCAAUUACAAUGACUGAAGGUGGAGAAAGCUUUUGCCUCUCAAUUUGCGAAAAAAGACCUGAAACAUGGGGAAAUGCGAAAUAUGAAAAAAAAAAAAAAACCUUCCACCAGUAGCAUGGAAAGCAGAGAAAGGAAAAAAUAUGCCUCAUUGCCUCAAAGACUCAUCCUAAAAAUGAAAAAGCAAAGAAAGAAAAUCAAUAUAAAUGGCUUGGAAGGAAAACGCCACACUUGAAUAAGUACAAACCAUCUUCCUGGUGACACAAAAGAAUUGCAUCAAUAAUGAUAAAAGAAUAAGUCAGUUCAAAGUUCAAACAGAUAAAGCAAUAAUAUGACAGCAGAUGUUCCCAAGUAAGGAUAACUCUGGUAGUAUAUGAAAGAGAAAUUACGUUUAAUUGAUGAUGAUGAUAAAAAAAGGAGCACCCUAACUAAACUUUUUAAUGGAUUAAAUUUCAUAACUACUGGCUCGAUGUUAUCAAAUUUAGCUUCAAAUUUAGCUAUGCAUUUUUAUGAUCCAACUAUAAUCUAAUUAAAUUAAAUAACACACCAACUUAUUACUGGGCGCCUUUCCACUUUAUAAAUUUGCAUUUCUGAUCCUGAAUCUCUAGGAGUUAUAUCUUAUUAUAGACGCAGAACAAAUCAUAGAGACUACCAUUUAAAGGUCGUCAGUUCUAAAUAUACUUUUCUUUUUGAAAUCCAUCUAUAUCAGAGUAAACAAAUGAAUAUAAAACUUUAGAAUAAAGGGGAAAAAUUGUCCAAAUCGAUGUCCUUUGGGCAAGUAGAGUGGAAUUUAAGGAAGUAACAAAUGAAUCACAGGGUUUUAUAUUCUCUGUUCUUUCUUUGAUCUAAUACAAUAAAUCAUAAUUAAUUUCUGUACUUUUCUAAUUGUUUACUUUGACUUGUGACACAUUGCCCGAUGACUAGAAUUAAAAAAAAUUUAAGAUAUUUUUUAGAAUCAGAAAGAAAUAAACAUUUUUCAAUUAAAAUAUAAUCACUUUUACGUUUUUUGUUUUAAAAAAAGAGAAAAAGUAAGAACUAGGAUGGUGACAUCUACCAACCAUAUAAUUCAAAAGAUUUCCUAAUACUUCUAAAUUAAUAGUCAACGUAGCAGAAACAAUCCUAAUCAGUCAAUGUGAAAAGCAAAUAUUUCCAAUCAUUGUCAAAGAAGAAAAAAAAGAGGAGCCUACAUCCCAAUUUAAGUACAAAAUUAAAUCUCGUGCACAGAUUAGACAAAAAGGUCCAAAAAAAACUCAACCGCGCAACUAAUGAUUUAAUUAAAGAACACAAACAGACACAUUAAAGAGAAAAUCUUAAUAUGAGAAAAACAGGAAACGCGCAUCCAAUCGCAAGAAACGCAUCGAAUCAGCAACAAUACAACGACCCUACCAUCAAUUCCCCAUAAGAAACCCAAAAAAUCCCCGAUAUUCGGCACAAAAUCAAACCGAUCAACCUAAAAUCUUACGAAAAAGCCGAGGAAAUCGCACAUACCUCCGAUCGCGAAGCCCUUGGGCUCCAUCGGCGCCGGAUCCAGAGAACCGAGUCCCCCAAUACCCCCGCCCCCUCUCACCGCCUAAGAUUGCAGGGGAUUUAACGAGAGAUUACUACGUAUAGGAAUCGACUGCGAGAGGACGAAGAUCAGCAGGCCGUCCAUGAAGCGGCUUGCUUCGGAGAGGCGACGAAGCUUAUCAAACCAGCUCAUACGUGAAACCCUAGAUGGAGACCCCCAAACCCGCGGUGGACGACGCCACGAGGAAGAGAGAGAAACAAGAGAGAGAGAGAGAGAGAGAGAGAAAUGGAUCUCACACGACUCUUCGCUUCUUCGUGAGGGCGUUGUUGUUCCUCUCUUUCUACGGACGAGGGGAAAAGGGGAACAAACCCCCUCCCCCUAUAUAUAGCCGAGCUCGGUAUGAAAAGACGAAAACGCCCUUCCGUUACCCCUCGGCCUGCGAGUCCGAAAAUACCCUCGGAAUUUGGCGUUAUUACCCGCUUCGCUUGCGGUUCGGUGGGCGUAAUAACGCGGAACUGGAGAGGGUAUUUCCGUCCUUUUGUGAGGGAUGGGGGAUUUUAGGCGGUUGUGAUAUUUUUGAGGGGUAGGAGCGAGGAAACGUCGGAGGGCACGCGGAUGCAAUUAUUACGAGGGCGGGAGAAAGCGCAGAGGGAAUUGUUUUUGACUGAACCAUGAUCAGCCACGUCUUUCGUGGACCAUCUUAUCAAUAUCGAGGACCCGCUAAUGCUAUUGAAUGAGAUGUUGUUAAGCCGAAAGUAUAAUAAAAAAAGAGUUAAUUUUAUACAUAUCUUUUUAAAAACUAGUAAAAUGUACGUACAAAUGCACGUAAUAAUUAUUAGAAAAAUUUAUAUUUUUUUAAAAUAUUUUUUAAUUUUAGGCCAUAUUUUAUAUGAUUGCCAAAUAUGUAUCUAAAAAAUUUAAAAUAAUAAAUCACGCUAUUAAGAAAGAUAUGCUUUAAAUUAUAAAUAAUUAACAAUAAUCUCUAAUGCAAAAAUUACUUUUGAAAUUAAAUAGAAAAAUAAAAUCUGUUAGAAAAUAAAAUUUUGAAAUUAAAUAGAAAAAUAAAAUUCGUUAUCUUAAAAAAAAUAAUAUAUUUUGAAAUUAAAUAGAUAAUAUCUAAAAAAGAUAUUUUAAAAUAAAAUAGAAAAAUAUCUUUUAUAGGAUUUUCACACCCGUAAUCUGUUAUAGAAAACUUACUUUUGAAAUUAAAUAGAAAAUUUUAUAUUUUAGGAUUUUCACAUCAGUAAUCUGUUAUAGAGAACUGACGUAUUCAUUGCUGUUUCUAUUUCUAUUUUUAUUCUUAUAUUUAAAAUUUUUCGUACGGAAAGAGAAAAAUGGGCGCUAAUUUUUUCGCCGAAAAAUGGGUCUGUCGACAGACCCAAAUUUGAAUAUACGUGCUUUUAUAUAUAGUAUAGAUAAUGAACAUAAAUAUAUUUUUAUAAAAUUUAAUUUUUAUAUAUUAUUUUUGUAAAAAUUUUAAUAUAUUUAAAUAUAUAUAUCCCUUUAAUUUGUUACCAUUAUCAAAUUAUUUAUAUUUUUAAUUUUGCCAUCACAAUAUAAGAGAGGUAAAAAUAUUAAAAAUUAACCGACCGUCCCUAGAGCAAGUGGCAAAGGGCUUGGUGGUUGUUACCCGAGAUCCAAGUUCGAAUCCUAGUUGAUUCACAUUUCUAACUAAGUUUAUUUCUAAAUGAAAUAAACAAAGCGAGUAGCGUGCUACCUAUCUCUCAAAAAAAUAAAAAUAAAAACUAACUAGGAUUAAGUGUUUAACCUAUAAUUAACUAAAUAUUUUUUGCGGAUUCUAACGGCAAAGACACAUAUUUGCAGGAAUAAUAUAUAAAAGUUGAAUAUAUUUAUUAUUUACUAUGUUUACAGAAAUCUGUAUAAAAUUAAUCUUAAAAAAAUAUAAAUAUAUUAUUUUUAUAAUCUAAUAGAGUAAAUAUAUAUUAUUAAUGUUUGUUCUCUAACUCAUUUUGAUUCAGAAUUAUAUGGUAGUAUUCAAUACAAAAGGACCUCAAAAUUGAGCCUCCAGUCCUAUUUUUAUGUCGUACAUUAAUAAGAUAAACUCAAAAAUGAAAAAAAUGAAAAAAAAUGUUGAUUUUAAAACUAAAUAAUAUUACAUCUAUUACUAAGAAUAGAUAAAAGUAGAAUUUCAAUUAAGAUUGAUUUGGGUAAGAUGAUAUAGUUUUUGAUACACAGAUUUUAAUUUUUAUCAGCUUUCAAGUAGUAUCUCAUUAGAAUAGACUACUGUUGUGUAUUUAUUUAUUCCAUCAACCAUACUAAGAAUUUGUAAAAAAAAAUUUCGAAUAAUAUUGUUCGUAUAAUUUAAAUUCUACUUCCGUGAGGAAUAAACGGGUGAAAAUCCAUUGAAUGAUGGCAUGGACCUGGUCCAUGCAAUAAUCUACAGGAGAAGUGGACCAUUUUAAAAUGAUAUAAAGUUUGGUCCACGUGGGAAGGAGAUAUUGGACACUUGUCGAGGUGGUAGACAAGAGAAGAGCCACAAGUAAAAACUUUCUUUUUAUAGCUAAUAUUUAUUAUAUUAUUAUUAUUAUUAUUUUAUGAUUUGGAUUAAUGAAUAGGCUAAUAUUUUUCCGGUAAACUUUAAAUAUCACUCAUGUGAUUUCGUAUUUUCUCACUUUUAUCCUAUAAUUUAAAAUGUAAAUCUAGUACUAUAUAGUUUCAGUUUUCUUUUUUCGUCAGCUCUUUCGUUAACAUUCGUUAAAUUAUAUACAAAAAAUUUCAAAUAUCUCACCUACGUUUAUCGAAUAUCCACUUUAGUAUCUUUUAGUUUUAACUUUAUCAUUAAUUUAAUGAAAAAAAUUAGUGGAGAAGAUAAUAAAAAGAAAAAAAUGAAAUCACAGGGUACAAGAUACUAAAAUAAAAAAGUGUGAAACCACAGGAGUGGUAUUUGAAGUUCUCUUCCCUUUUUUUCUUAUAAUUGGAUUUAUGAGUCCUUUGAUUUAGGAUUUAUAAAAUUUUCGAAAUGUUGCAUAUUUAUAUUUAGAAUGACCAAUUUCUUAUGGUACAGAGCUACUAUACUAUUGAAAGUAUAACAGAGGUAGUGCUUUCGACUUUUUGGUUAGUGCUUUCGACUUUUUGGCCCUUGGAUCAAAAAUUGUAAGGUCGGGAUAACAGUGAUCCCUCUUAGGAUUGGAUGGUUCCUUUAGAGUGAUAAUAUUAAUCCAAAUAUAAAAAAUUGUCAAGACAGUUGGGUUAAAAAGUUGGAAACAUGAAUUACUUUAUGCUUCGAAAAGUAUAUAGUUUGAGAAUGCAAAUAAGUAUAUCUCCUAAAAAAAAAACUUCAGUAAGAGUUAGUUUGGUAUUGAGACCUAUCUAAUGUUAUUGGAUAAAAUUGAGUUGUUGAAAAAGCAUAUAGGGAUAUGCUUCUGCGUUCUCCGGUAGGACCGCAGAAAAUAUAUCGUAACCGACUCAUCACGAUAUACGGAACGCAAUAUUACGUACGGCAAUAAAUAUGGUAUUUUUUUAAAAUAUUUUUUCACCGCAAGUAACGCAAUCUCCCUGCAAUCCCAAACAAAGUCUAAAAGUUCUCACUGACUUUUUUUUUUUUUUACUUUUGCAUAAAAAUUAAUAUGUUCUUUUAAUAUACGACUUCUUAAAAACAUAAAUUAAUAUAAUUUUUUUUCUCUUAGUUUAAACCUUUUUGCAAUCCUAAAAGCCAAAUUUUCUAUCCCGAAGGCCUUAAAAAUGUGUGUGUGUUUUUUUUUUCCCCCUUCCAUGUUAUGGCUCCCCUGCAAAUGAUCUACCUUAGCAACUUGUAUAAUAUUUUAUAUUUAUAUAUAUAUAUACAUAUAUAGGAUUAUUAGACUAAUAAUAGGAGCAAGCGCUCUAUGCUAUUAGGUUGUCGAUUCUUGUAUGAUGGGGUGGUGUGCGGUUAAGAUGAUAGUGAUCCCUUCGGGUUGGGUGGGUAGAUGAUUAAAUAGUAUGAUCUAACGGAUGAAAAUAGUCAAAAAGGUAGAUCUAACGGUAAAAAAUUUGAUAACAUCAAACCUUUGGUACUAUCGAUAUCGAUAGUAUAGUAGCCGAACUCUCUCUAUAUAUCUAUAUAGAGUCCGAUUACCAUACUCUUAUGAGUAUUGGUCCCUUUAUACUCAUAAGUUUUUGGCUGUUAGAUCUAGUCCAUUGAUCAUUUUCUUUUGUUCGAUCAUACUAUUCAACCAAUCACCUAGGGAACUGCUAACUUUCUAACCGGGGACCACUAUAAUUCUAACUGCACAUUCCUCAAUCCAACGAUUGAAAAUUUAUGAGUAGAUAUGUAUACAUAGAACUAGGCUGGAAUAAUAGCACCAAUGACUUUGUGCUAUUAAGUUUUCUGCCCUUAGAUUAAAAGAUGUGCGGUUAGGAUGAUGUGGGCCCCCUAGGAUUAAGUGGAUGGUUAGUUGAAUAGUAUAAUUGAAUGGAUGAAAAUGAUAAAAGAGGUAAAUCUAACGGCAGCAAACUUGAUAGCACCAAAUGCUCUGUACUAUCGAUAGUAUCCUCAUUGAAAUAUAUAUAUAUAUAUAUAUAUAUAUAUAUAUAUAUAUAUAUAUAUAUAUUUCAAUGAAUUAGUUGUUUAUAAGAUUUGUUACUACUUUUAUGAAAAGAGUUAAAUUGCAUAUUCAGAAUAAGAUAAGAAAAGAAAUAUCAGCAUUUAUAUAUACCAACAAAUAAAUUCAUUAAAUCCACUCGAUAUUUAUUUAAUGAACUUAAUCUGAUCAUCUAUUCCUUGCUAGUCAGAAAUUGCUCAAACUUAUUUGAAAAGAGUGAAUCCAGGAAACAUCUACAUACAAGCCUAAUAGACCAAGUGCGAGGUUCUGGGCCCCCACUUCUGAUUCUGCUUUCAGCAAAAGCCAUCUAAUUAUACAAAACUUUUGACAAACCAAAAGUUUGGUACUUCUACUACAAAGAAAAUUAGGAAAAAGAUAUUAAACUCUUUGAACGAUGCUUUAUCUAACAGUACUACACUCUAAAGUUGGGUCGGAAUAAGCCCUAACCCUAUGGUCCAACCACAUGUGACCUAACACUAAGCUUGUGAUUUGAUUCAUAAUUCCUACUUUGUCUCAUCACAUGGUUUUUUUGUCCUCAAAUGUACCUGCCUUAAUAGUAGUUGGCAUUUGCAUACAUUGAAGCUAUAUAAUUACACUUCAUAUUAUAUUAUAUGAUGAUACCCCACCUUAAUGAUGCUACGUAUUUUAAGCCCUACUAGAUUUGGUGGUUUCUACUAUUUUAGUGAUCAUAGUGUUUGCUUGUCGAAGUAUGAUGCCAUUUGAUAAGAUUAGAUUAGAUUUUAUAUAUAUUUUUUAGGUUUUUUUUUUGCUUCUCCAAGUUUGACUAUGGUGUCAAUUGGUCUCCCUGUGAGUUUUAAUUAAAUAAAAACGUGUUACUUGGUGUUGUUCUCUUCUUCUUUUUUUCUUUUUCUAUUUUGUAGUUUUUGGCAUGUUUGCUUAUCUUAAUUGCUUGAGUACUUAAUUAUUUUUGUGUUUUAAUGGAAGGUAGUUGGAAAUUUAUCAUAGCUUGUAUUUUGGCCUUUCAGAAAAAAAAACCCGUUAACCUAACCGAACCAAAUAUGGAUAUUGUUAUAUAUUUUGAAUACAAGCAUGAAUCCAUAAUAAGAAAAUAAUCCUAUAGCAGUUUUCACUCGUAUUAGUUUGUUUGAUUUGAUUUGACUUUUCAAUAGAACAUUAUUUUUAAUUAUUAAAAUGUCAGUGUAAAACAUUUGUGGUUUUAAUGUUAAUAUUUUAUAAUAUUGUAUUCUGUAUAUAUACAUAAUUAGAUUUGAAGGAUUAUGGUAAUAAUAGUUUAAUUUCACUUUGCGCUAAAAUUGAAUAACCGAUAUUCCAAACCGAUUUAAAACAAUUUAAAAUCAAAAUCAAAAAAUUAAUAUUAAUUCUUAAACAGAUAUUGGUAACCGCACGGCGAACACACCCACCCGGCUGUGCCUAGAAUUAAAUUAUAAUCGUUAUUUAAGCAUAUUUUUUAGGAACAUUAAUUAUUGCAUAAAGUUAAUUAAACACAAGAAUAAUUUAUAUAAAAAAGGAAAUAUUAUUUUGACUUUUCACUUACUAAAGUCCAAGCUAAUCGUAUAGCUUGGACUUUUCUAAGUGAAAAGUCAAAAUAAUCUUUUCUUCUUUUUUUUUUUAACAAAUUAUUCUUAUGUUUAUACAAUAGUUUAUGUUCCUGAAUUGUAUAGUUCAUGCGUAGAUCACAUUAUUAUUAUUUGGUAAAAAAGUAUAAAACUUAUCACAACUAUCAAUCAUUUUGAUUUAACUAUCUAAUUUUUAAAAAAUUUUGAUUUUACUAUUUAAUCUUUUAAUUUAUUUGAUUUGAGCCAACUAAUAAUUUCUUAAUUUUAAAUUUUGAAUAUGUUGAUUAUCUUUAUGAAUUUAAUUAAUAUGUUUUGUGAAAUUCAUGUAACUAUAAAUUCAUUAAAGCAAGCAAUUAACUUAAAUUAAUAAAAUCAGACAAAUUGAAAAAUUGAGUACAAAAAUCAAAAUUUUAAAGAUUAGUCUAUAGUUUACAUAAGUUUUAUACAUUUUUACCUUAUUAUUAGAAAGACAUUUCCAUCCCAAAACGCCCUCAAAUUGGGCAAAUUGUAAGCAAAUUAUAAUUUGCUUAUAAACGAAACUGAGUUUUCAACAACCUAAUGUCGAAAUGUGACUGUUUUGAGAUAUUAAAUGCUCGUUUGGCAUUAAGGUCUAUUUGGCUGGCAUUAACAAAUCGGAGUUAGGGCGAAAGCAUAGAAAAAUAUACUCCUUUUUUUUUUUUUGUGAUGGGAUCGCAAAAAAUAUAUCUUAUUGCGAUAUGUAAAACAUAAUAUUAAAUAUGAAAAUAGAUAAAAUAUUUUUUUAACACAAGUUUUCACUGACCGACUGUUCCUAGAGCAAGUGAUAAAGGGCUUGAUGGUUGGUAUCCGAAACCUAAAUUCGAAUCCUAGUUGAUUCGUAUUUUUCUAGCUAAAUUUAUUUCUAAAUAACAAAAACGAAACGGGUAACGUACCACCUAUCUCGCAAAAAAAAAAAAAAAAAAAAAAAAAAUUUCUCACUACAGUACUACAAUCUUUUCACAAUUUCAAACGAAGUCUAACUAAUGAGAUAAGUCUAAUAAAAAGGAUUAUAAUUCUUAGAUAAAGAUAAAAGUGACACGUGACUAUGAAUUGAGACUCCCCAAUGAGUCGUCUGAGAACUUCCCACUUAAAAUUUGUCCCACUAAUUAUGCUAAGUUGCCUGCUUAGUUUGUUUUGUUUCAGAACAAGGCCCCCAGAUCUCAAUGCCAAAUUCCUCACCUAAACUAGUCACAGAUUUUUUUAUUUUAAUUUUUUUUUUUUGGUUCAGAAAGUCGUAGAACGAAAUUAACAGGGGAUCGAAUUUCUGACCUUUUUCAACUUUUGGCACCUUGGGUACGAUGGUAGUUGUUAGUUGGCCAUCAAUCUCAGUCAUGAUCUCUCUCCAACCUGUUGCAUGUGUCGUGUAGGAGGAGGAGAGGAAUAUUCUCGUGAGAGGAGAUGAGCAUGUUGGAGAUGGAAUCGAGCUAUUACGCGUGAUACACUAUUUAAUAAAUCUAUCUUAAAAGUUACAAAAUUUUGCCUUUUUCUUUUCUCUCAUUAAUCUUUAGAAUGACAUAUUAAUUGCUCUUUAGAAUGACAUAUUAAUUGCUUAAAAUAGCUUUUCAAAAUUAUAAAUUUUUUAUUCUAAUAUUAUUUAGAAUUUUGUUCAUUGGAAAAAAAAAAAAAAAUUCACUAGUGACCUGUACUGUAGUGCAAUCUAAUCAAUAAAAAUAAGAGUUGAAGAAAUUAUCUAGAAGUUUUAUUUUUUAAAAAAAUAGAGAAAGCUCGUAGCGAACGGGAUCUUAGGUUUUAACUUAUGAGGUUACGAUUUACAUACCGAUAUUAUGCGAUUGUGCUGAGAAUAAACCGAAGUAUCAGCAUUCUAGUGUGUAACUGCGACGCACAACAGUUGGGUUCCAGAGUAAUGGAUUCGAGUACCGCAUGAGAGGAUUCUGAAAAGGAUUGUAGGAAAUCAAACUCGCAAUUCUUAAAAAAAGAAAAAAGAAAUUAAUUGUUGAGAUUCUUACAAUCAUCUAUCCAAUUUUUGUUAAAAAAGCAGAACCAAACAAGAAGCCAUAUGUUUAGAUCUCACGCGAAACAACGCACAUUGUGGGCCUCCAAUUGGUCCCAACAAAGCACAUAUGAUGCAGGGCUCGUAACACCUAUUAGUUGAGCCCUCACUCGUCAGAGAAAAAAUAAAAAAAAUAAAAAGAAGAAAGAUCCAACAACUAAGAUUGAUAUUUAGAGCAAUAAGUUUAAAGGCUUUCCGAAAUUUCCCUCUGAAAAAAACAGUACUCAAAUAAAACCCAGUACCUCAAGCAAACUUAAUACAACAAAGCUAGCAUCCGCGACACAAAAUACUAAACACCAAAAUUCUGAAAGGUUCUCUGGAAAAACAAGCAGGAUAGGUGGAGACACAAACAGUUCUAUAAGGCCGAGUGUUUCAGAUACAUUUACAAUAACAAGGACAGUAGUGAUACAUUAGAAGGAGACCUUAAUUCCAAGCAGAGCCAUGAGAUGCGAAACGAACUCGGGGUGCCCUGGCCAAGCCGCGCCUGUAACCAGAUUGCCGUCGGUGAAGCAACGGCUGAUGGGGUCGGGUUCCAACCAUGUCGCUCCGGCCAACACCACAUUGAGCUUCACAGCGGGGUAUGCAGUGCACUUCUUUCCCUAUUAUCGCAUGUACGGUGAUCAUCAAAAUUUGUACAUUGUUUCGUAUGAAAUACUAAGAUGAAAAACAAACUAUUCAAAUGACAGCUGAAGGUCAGGUAGAAAAAGUAGAAACAGGAUGCUGUUUAAAUACUGUAGACAAGAAAUGAGAAUUUUAAAGUAUAAUGAUGGAUUUAGUAAAAAAUUCAGGCAGAAAAACUGAAAAGUAAUCUGGUUUUUCUGUGCUAUAACAAUGUGCCCUACUCAGUAUUUUAUCGCCAUUUUAGAUGCAAAAAGAGAAAAACAGAGAAUAAUAAUACGUACCUUCAAAACUCCAGCAGCCGCCAAGAUCUGCUGCCCAUGGCAAAUUGAUGCAACCGGCUUUCCUUGACCCAUGAAUUCUUUCACCAGCGCAAUGACCUUCUCGUUCAAUGCAAGGUACUCGGGGGCUCGCCCUCCCGGGAUAACUAGUGCAUCAUAGCUUGAGGCAUCUAAGCCAUCAAAGGAUGCAGUCAACGUGAAAUCAUGGCCCGGCUUUUCACUAUAGGUCUGGUCGCCUUCGAAGUCGUGAACAGCAGUCGGACACUUGUCGCCUGCUCCUUUAUUGGGGCAUACUGCAUCAACAUGGCAGCCCAGAGCUUGCAGAGACUGGAAUGGUACCAUCACCUCAUAAUCCUCCAUGUAAUCCUGCCAUAUUUGUAUAAAUCCAGAAUAAACCAUGCCAUUAUAACAUUAUAUCUCUAGAACAAUUGAACAAAUUAACCGUACAAUAUAAAUUAAUAUACAACUUGUUCGGUCUCCAACUUUCAAUAAGAACAAAUAGUGCCCUUAUCAUUUGUUCUUUCCUUUUUUUCUUUUCUAAUAUUACAAAAAGAUUAUCACAAUAUAUGCUUUUCAAAACCUUUCAAAGAAUUUGUUAACUCUGAAUACUUCUAGGAAGAGUCACUUAGAGAAGUUAGCAUACAGGACUAUUACAUUAAUCAGGUUUCCUAUAAUUGACACAUUGACAGGAAAGGCUACAAAUCAGUUUCUCUCCUUGGUAGUCACAGAACUGUUUUAAGUCAAAUUAAAUAUUGUGGGCUGCCCUUCUGAUGGUUUAUAGCUGACUGUUUUAAACUUAUUAUCAAUUAUAGAAGUACUACAUAUUUUGUAAAAGAUUUAACACAGAAAGUGUAUAUUCUAACUCAUACAUAAUUCAUACACAUAAAAACAUUAACCCAAGCAGAUUAAGGCCCUGUUUGGAUGUCGAAAUAGAUUAUCCAGUGAUAUCCUAUUCAAUCUGAGGUUUCUUACUGUGGUUAGAAGCUGAGAGUAUGGUCAAAUGUCUAGAAUGGUACAGUAUGUUCGGCUUUCAAAUUAUUUUUUCAGAAUAAGAUAAAUCACCUCGUAGAUGAAAAAUGCUAUCCUACAAACUCGUAAAUGUCAAGACCUUUCAAUGAGCAAAAAUCAAACUCCUACCUUCCGAAGUUUCAAUUACACAAGAAAAUCUUCACAUCGAAUAACUUAUUCCGACAUCCAAACACAGCCUAAAACUACUUGGCUAAUGGCAACAGACAGCUCUAAUUUAAGUAACAAGCAAAAUAAAAUUUAAUAUACAACAAUUUCUAUAAAGCUAAACAGUUUCCUACUACUAUAAGACAGUCAGCCAAACAUUACUUAAGCAAAUGUUAACAAGACAGAUAGAUAUAAGUGCGAGGAAUGCACCAAAAAGGGUGGGGAAAAAAAAACUUUCGAAGAGAUAAGCAUGCAUGGCACAAGUUUCAGAUAUAAGAUAUUGCACAUACCCCACAGAGGAACAAAACCCUUUUAUUCGAGCCUGCUAUGGUGCCACCAAGUGCUUUCACGAAAAGGUUGAUAAAUUCAGGAUGCCCUUCGUAUGUUGCUCCUGUAAUUAAAUUCCCAUCGGUGACACACUUUGCCAUUGUAUCAGCUUCUACCCAGUGAGAACCUGCAUCAAUCAGAACUGGCUUUACAGGUGGAUAAGCUGUACAUUUUCGGUUUGUCACAACUCCUGCUGCUGCCAAAAUAAGCUGUCCAUGGCAAAUAGAUGCAAUAGGCUUCCUUGAUUCAGAAAAUUUCCGCACAAUGUUUAACAACGGUUCAUUCAUUGCAAGAUACUCCGGUGCACGUCCUCCGGGGAUUACGAGCCCAUCAUACGUGCUCACGUCAAUCUCAUCAAAUGUUGCAUUCAGCGUGAAGUUGUGACCCCUUGAUUCAGAAUAUGUCUGAAAUGAAUGAGAAAGGAGUGUUCAUGGAGUGAGAACUGAGAGCCAAAGAAGUCUUGAAACAUGACAAAACGGACAAAAAUGGGCUUCAAAAAUUGAGAAAAUUCAUAAUAAUAUCAUUGAAGGCAGUUGGUUAGCUGUAUAAUCAAUGAACCACUUACAAAGUAAUCAAUGGACCAGUUAUAAAACCUCCCAAAAUUUACAAACUUCUUAUUCUUAUUAUAGAAAAAAAAAAAAGUUUCAAGUGCAAGCUGACAGUUCUCGCCAUAGUCACGGAAUCCUUCGAUUUUCUUUCUCUCUCUUUUUUUUUUUGGUUUUUUUACACAUAGUACUCCAUUCAUUAGCUUCUACGUUUGUACUACCUUUUUUUUUACUUUAUUAUUUAUUGCUCCAACUCAUGGGAAAGGUACAUGUAGUUAAUAUCAUGUGCCAUGCAUGGUAGGAUAUCGUAGGAAAAAUAAAAUGAAAGAUCACCAACUACUAUCUUUUUUAUUCAUUCAACAAGCUCCAUUAAUAAAUGGUGCACAUUUUCAUGCAUUAAUCCAAUUUUAUAUAUAUAUAUAUAUAUAUAUAUAUAUAUAUUGGGGUGUUAUGUACUUGUCUCUAUUUCUUAGUGAUCAUGUUUUUCGAUGACCCCCUAACUUAGUGAUUUUAAAAUAGGUUUUAUUGGCUAAAUAAGAUAAUUAUAUUAAUCAAAUGUGCUAAAAUCAUUUAACUAGACUAGAUAGAACUAAUUAAUUUAAAAAACACAAUAAAGAGGAUCUUGAAAAGGAAAAAUAAAGUACGUUGAGGGGAUCACUCAAAGUGGGCUAUAGUUGAGGGGAUCUUCAUACACUUUUUUUUAUUUUUUUUAAAAAAAACUCAUUUUGUUUAUUAAUAAGUUGAGUCAUUAGCAUUACUGCCACGUCUAAGUAUUUGUAGAAUAUUUAUAGAAGUGCUUUUAAGAACUUUUUCUAUAGUCAAAGUAGAUAUCUUAUUUGAAGGGUAAAAAGGAUUUUUGUAUUAAAAAAAUAAAUAUAUCAGUCAAUACAACGAUCAAUUAAUUUUGGGGAUCCUAGCGGAGAUAGGGACGAGAAAUUUUUUCUUUUUUUGUUGGCGGGGCCUGAAAAUCCUAAAUAUUUACAGGAACAUGGACGGAGACGGAGAAGCACCCCUCUGCUCCUAUAUAUAUUCGAGGCGUCCUUACAUAGUUUUUUUAUCUUACAAUUUUUUCAAUUAGUAGAGUCAAUUAUAAACACUAAUUUUUUGAUUUGUUGUAACUUCUAACCUCAAAACUGAGCCAAUUAUAAAACAUCCACGUCAACUAUUUGUGGACUGUUUAUAAAUUGUUUCUUUAGUCAAAAGUCCAAUAGAUGUUUUAGUUGAGGGGUGAGAGGGAUUUUGUUGAAUUAUUAAAAAAAAAAAACAAAAUAUAUCACAACUAUGUCAAUGUUGCAUCUAUUAAACAAAACACUUCAAUGAAAUGCCAAAAUAAGACUAAAAAGCAUGCAUUGACUUUAUAUAAUUAGGCUACAGCCUCAUCAACAUCAUACAAACGAUUUAUCAUCAAGUUUACAAUGAGACUAGAGGAUCAAUUACAUGUUCCCUAUUCGUUUCACAUGAAAACUCAUUCAUAUGAUGAGGCCAAAAAUUUCAAAUUUCCCACUAUCAUGCGUUGCAUCUUGAAAUUGAGUCAUAAAUCAUAACACAUCCUCCUCAAGACACCAUCUUAACCAAUUUGCACAAAAGUCAAAUAUUAAUUACAUCCGCCUACAAACUAAUUGUAGCGACACUAGUCAUUUAUAAUCACAUAACCACUAUCAUGUCAAGUCAACUCAAUCAACUAAGCAUGAAAAUCGAAGGAAUCGCCUUUUUUUUUAUUUCCCGUGAUCAAAUUUUCAUCUUUCUACACUAUCAACAAUUGAAUAACCAAAAUAUUACCAAAAUAUGAUUCAAAGCAGCAAAUUUCAGGGGGGAAAAAAAAAACCCAAAUCCGCUUACCUGAUGCCCUAAUCCCUGAUGUACGGCGGUUCGGCAAAUCUCCCCGGCCUUCUUUCCGGGACACACGGCGUCCACCGCGAUUCCGUACGCUUGCAACGCUUGGAACGGAACCAUAAUCUACGGAUCAUCAAAGAAAAAAAAAAAAAUGAAACUACUAGAUUAAGCUCGAUUCAUGCGUAUAGGAGCCCGAUUCAUGCGAAGGAUCACUAUUUUGAACGAACUACGAAGCGAAUUAGGGAUUCGAAGUGGGGAAGAGGAGGAGAUUGACCUCGUAAUCCUCCACGUAGUCUCCGCAGAAGAUCAAAGCCCUCUUCUGAGCUCCAGCUUUCGCCAUUUUCGCCCACUCCAAGCUCUCGCUCUCUCUCUCUCUCUCUCAGUUUCGGACGAGUAGACCACGAAACUGCGGCUCGGCUCAAUAUAUAGGGCGAAGAAGAAGGAAUGGAAAAUGUAACGAGCCCCCUCAACUAUAGAUUAAUUCGCAAUGGGCGCGUUAACUUUAUUUAAUUUGUUGGUAAUUUUAUAAACUUUUAUAGUUUCAAUCGUUAUAAUUUUAUUUUACUACUUAAAGUUCAUAAAAAUAAUUAAAAUUAAGCCCACAUUUUUUUUAAUUUAAUAAAAAUUAUAAAGAGCUCCUCUCAAAUAACGUUAUAGUCGAGGGGUCUUCCUACAUUACUACUAGUAAGGACCGUGCCACAAAUACUCUUGUGGGCCCAUGCGGCACAUGGACACGUGUCGAUAAUCUGGUGGGUUGUGUUGUGUCCGGUGUUUUACAGAAAGGAGAUGAUCCAUUCGAUUUCGUGGUGUUCGAAGUAUCUCGAGAUGGUGCUCGGUGGACCGCUGGAGCGGUGGAGCGAGCAUAAGAUAAUGCCACGUGGCACGUCAAUGAUGCAAUUAGAUAAGCCUCACGUACUUGGCGAGGGAGGCUUUUUCGUUUUUUUUUGAAGGUGCAGAAAUAAAGGAGGAGUUUUAAAUUUCGUGCGCGCAAGCGCGGUGGGUAAGAUCGGACGGUUGUGAUCGCUCGAUUUGGAGUUGAUCCGCCGGCCACGUUUUGUGAUGCAGCUCUCAUGUGAUACUGUUGAUUUUUUUUUCUCUCACAAUAUCAAUUUUUCAACAAAAAAAAAUUUAUUUUAUUAUAUUUUUAGAGCCUUUUUUUGUGCAGUUGUAAACACGAUACAAUUCAUUGAAAAAUACUUUAAUUGGUACGAGCAAGAAAUAGGCGAAUUCGGCAAAUCCAAAAGAGACUCGAGUUUUUGGUGCGAUCGCUCGAGAAUUGAGACCAUCUUAGAUCUCGCAUUGAAGGAUUUGAAUCAAGAUUUCCAAAUGAAUAGGAUUGGAUAGGAUAUUAGUAUAUAUCAAUACAUGUAGUUUCACUUACAGAUGUCACGUUCGCAAUUGUCUGCUUUUGUGUGUCCAGCUACAGCAGUUAGAUGCUAACGCUGCAAUCUUAAAAAAAAAAUAAUUUACUGUACAUAGUUAGAUCUAUAAUAAAAUAACAACUGUGUGCAACCAAAUAGAGCAUAUCUAUAUAAAUAUGGAAUCGAGAGUAUGUACGGUGGGCUCCCCGCGUUUUGCGGGGGACUCGCGAGAGAGAGAGAGAGAGGGAGAGAGAGAGAACAGAGGGAGGAGGGAGAGAGAGCAUACAGAGAGAGGGGGAGAGAGAGAGAGAACAGAGGGAGAGAGAGAGAGAGCAGAGUAGAAGGGAGAGAGAGAGAGAGAGCCAGGAAGAGAGGAAGAGAGAAAGGAAAAGAAAGAGAGAGAGGGGGGAGGGCCUACGUGCAGGCGACCCGCGCCCGCAGCACGCGCGAGAGAGAGAGGGAGAGAGGGGGAAGAGAGAGAGAGAGAGAGAGUGAGCAGAGAGAGAGAGAGAGAGCAGACAGUGUCUCUCUCUCCCUCUCUCAGCGCGCGCAGGGGGUGCGGGCCGCCCGCACAUGGCAGGCCCCACCCCCUGGUUCUCUCUCUCACUCUCUCUCCCUCUCUCCACACCCAGCCCCCCCUUCUCUCUCCCUCUCCCCCUCUCUCUCUCCCCACCUCCUCCCCCCUCCCGCGGCUCUCUCUCCCCCCUUCUCUCUCUCCCCCACGUGCGCGCGACCCGCGCCCAACGGGUGCGGGCGGGGCGCGGGCCGCGGUGGGGAGGUGCGGGCGACCCGCACCCCCCGCGCGCGCGCGAGCUCUCCCCCCCCCUCCUUUUAUACCUCUCCCUCCCCCCAGACUCUCUCCCACUCUCCCACCCCUCUCCCCUUCUUUUCCUUCCUCCCGCUCUCUGCUCUCUCUCCCCGUUCCCAUAGAGCGGGCGGGAGAGUCGGAGCGAGCGCGGAGCGGCGGGCGACGGCGGGAGACGGGGCGCUGCGGCGGCUGCUGGGCGCGCGCGGGGCGAGGGAUGGGCACCGGGGCGGCGGGACCGAGCGGAGGGCGGCUACGGGGCGCGGGCGGCUCGCGAGCGCGCGGGCGGGUGUGGGGGCCACGAGCGUGGCCGUUCGCACGCGAACGGGGGAAAGAGAGAGAGAAACAGAGAAGCAGAAGAGGGAGAUAGUCGAGCGGGAGAGAGAGAGAGAGAGAGAGAGAGAGCAGAGGAGGAGAGGGAAGUAUAUAUAUAUAUAUAUUAUAUAUAUAUAUAUAUAUAUAUAUUAAAUUUUAUUUAAAUAUAUAUUUAUUAUUAUAUAUAUAUAAUUUUAUUUAUAUAUAUAUAUAUAUUAUAUAAUUUUAUUUGUAAAUAAUAUUAUUUGUUUAUUAUAUAUAAUUUUAUUUAUAAAUAUAUAUUUAUUUAUUAUAUAUAGUUUUUUAUUUAUAUAUAUAUAUUAUUAUAUAAUAAUUUAUUAUAUAAUUUACUAUUUAUUUUUUUUAAAUACUUCUUUUCCUCCCUCUUUUCUUUUUUUUUUAUAUUAUCUUUUUCUUUACCCUUUUUCCCCCUUUUCCUCCCCUGUUCUAAAUUUUUUUUAUUUGUAUAAUUACGGAUCAUGUACAAAAAAAUAAAAAUUAAAUUUAAAAUUUAAAAUUUAAUUUUUUAUAUAAAUUUUUCGCAGCGUAGCGCGGGCCUUCACUAGUAAUGCAUGAUAGAGAGGUGUUCUUAAGGUUCCAUAAUCGCAGGCAAUAAAAUGAGAAGGAUAAAUUCUAAUGGAGGCCCUUAGUUCUCGGCAAAAGCCCACAUAACGAACGGACGCUUGCAUAAUUCGGCCCAGUAACUAGAGUCCAAGGCAUAUUCACCAAAUGGGUCGCCCGAGCCUGCAAAAGUAAUUAGAAUCUAUUUGUUUCGUGGAAGUGGAGAAAGGUGAAACUAUUUUUAGCCGUAAACAAAACAAUAUAAAAUCAAUUAUGAUGAAGAAAGAUAAAAAAUAAAAUAAAUUAAAAUAAUACAAUGGGUUACAUUUAUCAAGUUAUUCAUUAUUUACGUAUUAUUUAUAGCUUGUACACCAUUUACUUCCUGCCAAACAAACAGCGGAAUUAAAAAAACUUACACUUUCGUAGCUUCAAAAAUAAACAACGAAAAAGAAAUAAUUUUCAACUAAACUCUGUUUGAAUCCAAAAUUCAACUUGUUGUGAAACAAACGUACCCUUAAUGAAAUGGAUGACACAAGAAAAACAGAAUGCAUAUAGUCAAACAAUCAGACCACGGCAAGACACCAUCCACUGCCGCGGGCAACAGCCGGCACAGAACACCGGAGCAUGACACUGCAGAGCCAGUAAGACCAAACCUACAAACAGGAAAACUGUCAAGUCGAAGACCGUCGACCAACACUACUCGCAAGCAUGCCGAGAAACAGCUCACAUCCCAACGAGGCCUUCACGGCAAUCGCCGCAAUGACCGAAGAGCAACCAGGUAGGCAGCAAUGUAGCAUGCUGAGAACAAAGGCUGGGACAUCGGCAAAACAAGACGACACCCAAGAAGAGAACAUGUCAUGCAGAGAAAAACGAAGAAGAAACAAAAUUGGUGAAGUCAAAUAUGCCCUAAUCAGGCUGAUUCAUUAUCUUAUCCAUUUUCUGCGUAAAUAGACAAAGUAAAUCAUCUCGCGACGAGUCAGGAAACAAAUAGAACACAUGCUUCAAGGGCACAAGGAUCAAAAAUUGAACAAAGCCCACAAAUCCUCAUGCACCAAGUUUAAAAUUAUGACCCUCCCCAUUUCAUAUCUAACCUACUUCUAUCAGCCUCAUAUAAGAAACAGGUUUUGGCACUAUUAACUUUUAAAAAAACCAUAAUGCGCCACAGAAAUUCUCGAGGCCUUUUACUUAAAGCAAAACAACCGCAAGCAAUAACAUUCCCUUCCGCUCUCCCACUAAAACUAGACUUCAAGAGAACAUGACCCCGACUUUCCGCGCAAAGUCAUCCUCAUCAUCCAAAUCAUCAUCGUCCUCCGGAUAAGCAUUCUCCUCUACUUUAUAAUCACCGCCCUCCAUUGCCUCGUAAUCAGACUCUCCAUCCCUCUGAUCAUAAUUCUCCAGCUCUUGAUCCUCUAUAGCAUCAACACCAUCUUCAGCUUCAACCAUAUCUCCUUUUGCUGAAGAUUUGCCAUCAUAAUUUAUAUCCUCGCCAUCUGAAGGGAUCAGACCUUCUUCUUCCUCUUCUUCGACCGUUCCAACCUUGUGCACUUCAAGGGUACUGCCCAUUUCUUGCUCACCACCUUUUUCGUGUGUCCCAGCAUCUCGUUCAACGUCUUCUUUUCUGACACCAGACGAUUCACCAUUACCCAAUGCUGCCUCUCUUUUCCUUUUCAGGAUGACACUAAGUGGUUUUGGACCUUCAAAACCAAGGGAACCUACAGGUUCUCGAAGUUGCUCUUUAGAAGCAGAAGUCGUACCCUUUGCCGGCUGCUCUUGGGAGCUCUCGACGGCCUUCCCACCUUUCAGCUCUGCGAGACUUUUCGGACCAGGAAAGUUCACUGACUGCACUUCAUCUCUUUUACCUAGCCUGCCCCCAAGGUUCCUACCGUCAGUGGUGAAUUCCUCACUUAUUUUCCUCGUUCUUUCCUGAUGCCUACUGUGAAGGUCUACCGGCCGAACUGGAGAGACUCUACCUCGAGGUCUUCCUCUAUCUCUCUCUUUGAGAUCAGCUCUAUCUGGUGAAGAUCUCCUAGGAAGUCUUAUUCUACCUUGGAGGCGGGUGCUUAUUGAGCUCUCACGCUGAGGGUGGUCAUGGUUUCUGCGAGAAUGAUGGUCCCGCCUUCUCUCCCCUGGAUACUGUUUUUCCCUUCGGUAGUGCUCACCACGGCCAUCGGGACUAAGAGCUGAUCUCGAACCAUUAAGUCUUCUCUGCUUUGUAAGCCGAUGGCGCAAAUCCGACCCACCAAUCUCCUCACGGUCAGCCUCUCUGUGCAAAAGCCUUCUUUCACGGACAGACAAUCUCUCGGGUGAAGCCCUAAAACGAUCCAGCUCGUAGUUGCCGUGUGCCCGUCCAAGCCGAUCGUACAUUGCCAUUUCGUUGUAUCGAUCUCUUUCAUCUUUGACCGCGAGUUCAUAUUCACUUCGAUGGUAGUCGUAAUCAUCAAUAGGGUUAACCAACGGUCCUGCAAAAUUGUCUUCAUUGUGUAAAUAACCAGAAUCUUCAUCUUCAUUGUCCACAAGAACAUCAAAGCCCGGAGAAGACUCCCCCAAGAACUCAUCAGCAUCCCUAUUACCAUUCUGGGCCCGGUCAUCCAAAUGCUGAACUUGGUGACUUCGGCUCCUCCUCUGCUGCACAUACCCCUUGCCAGCAGCAAGAUAAUUGUGAUCGAAUUCAGGAAGAUCAUCAUCUGGCAAAUAAGGCGGCAAACUUUUCUUUACAGGCUGUACAUUAUGUGAUGCACCCUCAGCCUUGAUAAAAGCUUUUGCAGAAGUUGGCGGUGCUACGGCGGGCUCUUCAACAUUGACUUUUGGCUUAUCAACAUGUACAGCCGGCUUAUCAAUAUUGGCUUUUGGUUUAUCGGCACUUGUUAUAGCUGCACUCUGCUGAGUAGGUACAUUUUGCUGUUGACACUCCUUGAUACCCCAUGAAUCCUUCUUCUGGGACUGAGGUGGCUCAGUAGAAGCUAUCGGAACCUUGGCCGACUGCUGAGGAUUAGGGUUUGCAGCAGCCUGAGGCCCAUGCAUAAACAGGCAUUUGUCACCCUUCAUGCAGUUACCCUUCUGAAAAUAGUAGCAUGGAACACUCUGCUUGUUCGUGUUAUAAGGAGGAAAAUGGGGUGCAGUUCCCUGUGCGGAUGCUGGGGCCUGUGAUGGAGGAGGUGGGGUGGGUCCUGAAGUUGGCGGGCCACCAAACAAACCAUCGAGCGGCUGAGAGAAAGAACAGCAGCAGUAAGCUUAAUGGUUUUUUUUGGUAAAAAAAAAAGAAAAAGAAAAAAAAAUCUAAGUGAUAUAAGACUGGAGAUGUUGAAUGGUGGUGAACAUUUAUAACGGCAUACUUUGUUUCCAGCAUAUGAACUGAUAGGAACUAAAUAUUCAGUGAUACAAACAUCUGUGAAACUAUUGACAAUAUUAAAAUACACCCAUACGGAUUUGGAAGCUAACGCCUCCUAUUCAAAUCAAUUUUAGGACAUUGAUAUUGAGUAUUCAUGCCAUUAAAGAUAGAAAUAUAUAACAAACUCACAAUCAUACUUUUGCAAACUCUUUUACCACCUUAAAAGUGGCAAUUUUUACAAUAGAAGGGAGUUUCUUAUCACAGUUUUGAAUAACACAAGUAAGUUGAAUUCAUGAUAGAAAAAGUUGUUUCCAAAGUUCUAGAGCAAGAUGGAUGGCGCAGAUGAUUUUUGUUCGACUUACAUUUAAUUUCUAAAUAUUCCAAAUUGCUUAGAAAAAUCUAACACUGCGCAUAGGAUAGUUGGUCAGGCUCUGAACCUACGUGCCUAUGACUUUCUUCAAUGUAGAUUUCUAAAUUGAUGAGUAAGGAUGUUGUAUUCUAGCUUAAAUCUAUACAUAUAUAUGUGUAGAGAAAAAAUAUUCAAACAAAGGCUUACCGGGUGUCGAAAUGAGCAUUUUGAAUUCAAGCAGCUGCCAUUGAACCAGUACCAACAAUCCCUGGGAUUAACUCUUGCUCCGUCACUGUGACGAUACUCACAUUCGCUACCCUGAGUAAAAGAGGAAAAAACAAUGCGACUCAUCAAAAGAUUAAAUUUAAUAGAAAAAAAAAAAUUGCAGUCACUACAAACUAAGAACCUUCCUAAACUAAUAAUGCAGACAAAGGUGAACUAUGCGACAGAGAACACAACAAUUUCCAACCAUAUACAAUGACAAAAUCAGUAUAAUGUGAUGCAAGUUAAAUUAGUUAUUAUUUUUGUUUAAGAACAUUGGGAAUUCAUUUAUGAAAUGUGCCGAAAGAAAUUUCAAGUAUUUGUUAUACUGCACAAUGUUUUUUGUUCUGCAUGGCCUCUUCUGUCCCAAAAUUAAAAGCAAAUCCCUGAGGUGAAUAAGCCCACAAGGGGAUCUCAUCUAAUACAUGAAAAACUAUGCAAAGAUAAAACUUGGUAACAAAUUCAAGUCAUAACUCUGAUAGAUUAUGCAAAGCAUUGUAGACUACUUAUAUGCGAGCUUCUUUCACAAAAUUAACCAAGAAAUUUACAGGAGAAGCAGCAAGAUAUUCCACAACCAGUUCUAUAUUCUCACAUCAACAUCUGCAGCCUAGUAAGAACCGUAUUAGAUAUUCUGAUUAGAUCUAUCUCAACCAAGCACCCAAUUUAUUUCCAUCUGAAAAGAAAACCCUAGGUUUUCUCACCAUAAGGUCCAAAACCCUAGCUGCUCAACCCUAGACCUUCAAGAUCCUCCAAAAGAACCAACAACCAAUCAAAACCCUACAAAUUUCAGCUGAAAAAUAUCACCUUUUCAGCUCAGUUCAUGCAAGCAAAGCCAACAAAUUACCUACAAACCACACACACAAAAAAGAAGGAAAAAAAAAACAAAUAAAAUCCACAAUUCAAGAUGAAAAGAGUACAAAUCAAGAGAAAAGGAAUUAGAGAACUACCUUCUUGCACGUCAAUGGCGAGGCGAGGAAGUAGACGCAAUCGGUGUUCCGCUUCAGCGCCUCCUCCUCCGCCGUUAAAGGGCGAACCCCCUCCCGCUCCGCGGCGGAUUCCAUGGCCGCGCACCCCCAACCCACUCCCAGGCUCUCUCCUUUACCUCCCUCCGCGUAAUACGAUCGAGAAUCCGGGAUCGAUCUCGCCAAUCCGGGACGAUUCCGAGGCGUCGAGAGCUCGAUCCUCAGAGUAAUCGCCCAAGAACUAGGGCACCUAUGGGGGCAGCGGAGGAGAGAGGAAAUAGAUCUGAGCAGGAUAGGAUCGGGGGGGAAUCGGAAUAAGAGAGAGAGAGAGAGAGAGAGAGAGAGAGGGAUUUGGGGGCGGAGAUGGGGAUAAAAACACAGCGAAGUUGGAGAGAGGGGAAGGGGUUUGGGCUCGUCUUUUUGGCGACAGGUUUGGGUUAGGAGACUCCGCAGGGCUUGCGAAAACAUAAAACCCGACCCAGUUCGAUCCGAUCCGCAAAAUAAUUGAAAAAAAAUACAAAUUAAUUAUUUAAGUUGUCUCUUUAGACUUUUAUUAAGUUACUUAACUCUCUUUAUAGUUAACACACACAACUGUGGAGCGACUAAUUUUGACGAAUCUUUAAUUCACAGUGGUGGAAGCAAUUCAAAUCAGUGUAAGUGGAAACUGAGAGAGAAAAAUUAAGGAAACUUUGAGAGAAAGUUCCCGGUUAUUAUUUGUAUGAUGAACGAAGCGAAAAUAUUUUUAAUAGUAGGGAGAAAAAAAAAAAAAAAAAAAAAAAAAAAAAAAAAGGGAAGGUGUUUACAAUCAAUUUUUUGAUUUUUCAAUGUCUGGGAUAUAGUAUCACGUAGUCAACUUUCUUCAACAGGAGCCUUAAUCAUGUAAAUCAUGUACUCAAAAUUAGGAAGACACUUUGCUUUGCAGGAAAAUCAAAUCAAGCCCCUUCUUAUCCUGUGCCUUUGAUUGUAGUACAUAAUUUACUUCGAGAACAUCCACAGCAGAGAGAUGAGGGAGGAUACCCACAGUGAACAAUCCAAGAAGAAGGGCAAGUCAAUCCGAAAGCGGGUAGUAUGGGCCGAUGAGGUGGGCAAGGAGCUAGUGAAGGUAGGUAAGUGCUUUGAUGGCAAGGAGUUUCUUACUGGACAGGGAGCUAAUCGAGGGAGACAAAGGGGUAGCAUUGAAGACCAUUUAAGAGGUGAGCGAUCGAUUUGCCAGCUCGGAACGGACGAGGUAGACGGAGCUGGGGAGAAGAAGCAAAGGUGCCAGGGUGGGGAGGAGAGGACCUUACAUGUUUUCGGAAAGGGGUCAACCUCUGAGUUCAAGAACAAUGUUAAUGCCGGACACCGAGAAGGCAAGACGGAUGGGCUACACAGCUCAGCCUAUGGAGAGGGAAGGUACCUUGGGUUUGGUGGGUGCAGUAACUCCUCCCCCCCCAGAUGGCAGUCUUAUAAGGAGGCCCUGGUGAGGGGAUUGAAGCCACCUCUCUCUUCCAUCCACGUACCACUCAAAAAACACUCAUACAACCAGAGACCUAAGCUUUUGGCAAGUAAAUACCUUGCAAAAAGGUGUUUUAGGUGUCUGGCCAAGGAUCACAAAGCUGUAGCGUGCCGCGAUCCGGUGCGGUGUCUCUGCUGCUUGGGCUUCGGGCAUCGAGCACAACAGUGCAAGGAGAGAAGAGCUCUUUCGGAGAACGACAUCAUGAAUAGGCUUCCCCACCGCCAAGAUCGUGUGCCAGAGUCGAAAGUAUUCGUCCCGUACACGGACGAGUAUCUACGAAGACGGGAGAUGCGACGUAAUGCGGUCCUCGCGGACGUGCUCCGCCCUGCAAACCUGGGGCCUGAUCCUAUCGCAACAAUCAAAACGGCAUUAGCAAGGCGAUUCGGGGGCUAUAUCGACGACUUCGCGGUCGCUCGGUAUAGGGAGAGGGACUUUGCAAUUUUUUUGCCGGAAUGGGUACCAGCAUACGACCUAACAAGAAGGGAGGUUCUCACCCUUAACGACUUCUGGAUCCGCUGCUAUCCGUGGGGUCAGUACAGGUAUGCCCGUGCUCACCGGUCUAGGGUGCGUGCCUGGAUCCGGCUGAUCAACCUUCCUUUUGAGAUUUGGACUGUCCCACGGGUAGCGGCGAUAGUGAGCGGGUUCGGAAGGUUUGUGAAGGCGGACUCGGUCACCAAAGCAAUGACGGAUCUGCGAGCUUUUCGGUGCCAGGUGGUCCUGGAUUCGGUGCGAGAUGUCCCCCAAAACCUGUCGAUAGUGCUGGAUGAGGAGCGGCACCCUGUGAUGGUGCACAUCGAGAGCUGGGAGAGGAUUGAAGAAGGGGGACGGGGAGACCCACCUCUGCCGCCGCAGAAUGGACCGGAGGAAGGGAGGAGGGACGAGGAGGGUGAUGACAACAGUCUGCGGACUGGGGAUGAGGGCGAAUCGUCGGUGGCGGUGGAGAUGAUGGACGCGGGGGCCGGAGAAGUAGAGGAGGGGGAGGGGCCCGACCGAUCCCGAGUGCACCCUAGCGGUGGUGCACACCAGGCGAGGCUUUAUCGCCCGGCAGAGAUGCGACGAGGAGUUACGGAGAGGGUACCUAAGCGAACCCAGCGAACGGCGGAGUCGCUCCACAAGGCGGAACAAGGAAGGGGUGGGGCAACGCGUCAGAGGGAUGCGGCUCAGAAGAUUCUGAACGAGGGAGGGCAGACGGUGGGCGAGGUGCGACGGCGAGCGGAGUCGGAGACCGGAAAGGAGAUUCUGGGGAGGAACGGCUGGGAGAGAGAGACCGGGCGCUCGGCCGUGAAGGUCGGGAAAGAAGGGGAGCCGGCGGCGGACGACCGGUGGCCUCGCGCAACGGCAGGCGCCAAUACCAAGGAGUGGGAAGCGAGAAGUCUGAGGAAGGGGGAGCCGGAGGGAGCCUGGAGUUGCAUUAGAAUGGAGGGGGCAGUAGAGGGAGGUGUUCGGAAGGUCCACUCCCACUUACCUGAUAAGGGAUGUGGGGAUGUGACCGACACGAACCCCAAAGUUGAGGGGCCCGAGGCUGCUGCUGACCUGAUACAAACAUUGGGAACACAACCCGGGAAGCGGAUGUCAGAUGUGGGUUUAAUGCUUUUGGCCCCAUGUGGCGGUGAUAGUGUACUCGUGAGUGUGGGGACGCGGGCCUGGAUCAUCAGACCGGGUCUGAGCCCAGGCUUUAUGAACCAGAGAUUUAUUACUGUAGAGUGGGGGCGGAGUGUGAUGAUGUCUGAAGGCUUGGGGGGAGCUUUGGUGGACCCGAUUUUAGGUGUUACGCCCAGCUUCCUCCACCGACAAGUACCACCGUGUCACAGUCUGGGGGGACUAUUGGGCCCCCCACCCCUCCACCUGCCAAAAGAUGGGCCCCCUUGGCGCCAACUGGUCAGACCACGUGCAAGGAUGUCAUUGCCCUGCGGGCCCUCGGGUUGGCCCAUCUUACUGUGCGGGAUAAUGUGGGCUCGUUACUCCUGACACAAGGAGCGGUAGGCUUGGGCGACAGCGACGGGAGUCCCCCACCGAAUUGCGGAGGAAUGAAGCAUUACGAACAGGUCGAGGAUCGGCUCACCAGUCUUGAGCCGCCAUUGGAGGUCUCGGCUUUCGCUGAACCUGCCGAGGAAGUGGCCGCGAGCUUGAUCCCGGGGCAUUCCAUGUCUCCCGAUCUCACUGACGCAACCCCUCCAGCGAAGCCACUAAGAAAGAGCAAACGGCUGACACAGACCCAUUCCUCACCAAUUCUGUCCAAGGCUAUGGUCAGGAAAAUCAAGUUACGUGAAGGCGAUCAGCCGNCUGACACAAGGAGCGGUAGGCUUGGGCGACAGCGACGGGAGUCCCCCACCGAAUUGCGGAGGAAUGAAGCAUUACGAACAGGUCGAGGAUCGGCUUUCGCUGAACCUGCCGAGGAAGUGGCCGCGAGCUUGAUCCCGGGGCAUUCCAUGUCUCCCGAUCUCACUGACGCAACCCCUCCAGCGAAGCCACUAAGAAAGAGCAAACGGCUGACACAGACCCAUUCCUCACCAAUUCUGUCCAAGGCUAUGGUCAGGAAAAUCAAGUUACGUGAAGGCGAUCAGCCGGCCGGGCGACGACUAUCCGCAGCGAGGCUCUCCUCCAAGAGCCUCCUUUGCGGAGUGAAGCUCACUGAGAACGACGCGAAGAAUUUUAAGGCGUUUUUGAAUGACUGCAUGUAGUCAGAGCGGCUCGGGGACCAGUGGACUCCAUUUUGGGUUUUGUCGUGGAGAGUCUAUCGGUUGUUCUUAUGUUUCGCAUCUGUAGUUGGAACGUUAGAGGGCUUAAUGACCCCUCGAAACGGUGUGCCGUUAGGGCAGUUGUGUCGAAACUGUGUAAUGCAGUUGUUUGUCUUCAGGAGUCGAAGGUUAAAUAUGUAUCCGGGUCCUUCCUUAGGAGUGUUGGCGGUCCUUUUUUAAACAAAUGCGUCUUUCUUGAAGCAGAUGGCGCCUCAGGCGGUAUUAUCACUGGAUGGAGUUCUCGCUAUUACUCUUGCUUAGAAGUCCUAGUGAGGACUUACUCGAUCACUACUCUACUUUCCUCCAACACAAACGGAUCUAAGUUCUACCUCACUAACGUUUAUGGGCCUGCCUCGUGGGACGGUAAAGAGGAGUUCCUCGCUGAAUUAGCUCAGCUGAAGAACCACUGCGGAGGAAAGUGGAUCAUCUGUGGUGAUUUCAACUGCACUAGAGGACAAGUCGAACGGAGGGGAAAGCUUUGGAGCAUCAAAGCCACGGCCCUAUUUAACGAGCUGAUCUCUGAACUCGCUUUGAUAGACCUGCCCUUGUUGAACCAAUCUUACACGUGGUCCAACCUGCAAGCGAAACCAACCUUGGCGAAACUGGAUCGGUUCCUCGUUUCCCCUGAAUGGGAUCAGGAGUUUCCUCUCUCACGGGUGGAAGCCUUACCUAGAAUUGCAUCCGAUCACUGCCCUAUCUUACUUACAGCUGAUUUUUCCUCCAGGGCAAAGAAUACGAUCUUUCGUUUUGAGGAAGCCUGGUUGAAGCACGAGGGUUUCCUUUCUAAGCUUCCGGAAUGGUGGAGGGAGGGUUUACAGGGAACACAAGACAAGCCGGCUGUCCUCACCUUUACAGCCAAGCUGAGACACUGUCGGGUAAGGAUCAAGGAGUGGUGCGCCAAUGAGUUCUAUAGUGUAAGGAGAGUUAAGAAUCAACUUAUGGAGGAAAUACAGAAAAUUGAUAAAGCAGAAGAACAAGGUGAUAUACCGCCAGACCUAAGCAACAGGAGAAACGAACUAAAGGAUAACCUGAGAUGUGUGCUCCGUGACGAAGAAGUCAUUUGGAAAGCCCGAGCCAAGCAGCAUUGGCUACGAGAGGGGGACGGUAACACGAAAUUCUUUCACUCAGUUGCUAAUGGCAGACGCAGAGCCAACCGGAUUGGCCCACUCGUUGAGAAUGGCGUUACAUACCGAUCAGAGAAAGAGAAACGAGAUUACUUAUACCGCUCGUUUAAGAACCUCUUCACCCCCGAGGAUUCCAACCCUGCGUCCUUUGGUGACUGGGCAUGGCUUUUUCGAUCCAAUCGUGUUGAGUCGCCUGAACUCUCGAGGUUAACCGAACCCUUCAGCUUAGACGAAAUAAAGCGAGCUGUAUUCCAACUCGGCAGUGAUAAAGCGCCGGGCCCAGACGGAUUCUCGCUGCUAUUCUACCAAACCUUUUGGGACACCAUUAAGGAGGAUAUCUUGAACAUUUUUCAGGAGAUGUUUGAGGGGAGGCUCUCCACGGCUCCCAUUGACUAUGCUUUCAUCUGCCUUAUCCCUAAGAAGGAGGGAGCUGAACGGGCAACCGACUUCCGCCCUAUCAGCUUGCUAAACGGGAUCCAAAAGAUCCUAUCUAAGGUAUUGGCGAAUAGGCUCGAACUGGUGAUGUCGAUCUUGAUAUCCCCCACUCAGUCAGCUUUUCUGAAAGGUAGGAACAUUACUGACGCUUACGUGACCGCCGCUGAACUUAUUGGAUGGAGUUGUAAAAAGAAAGUGGAUGGAGUGGGGGUAAAGGUUGAUUUCGAGAAGGCCUACGAUAGGGUUAACUGGUCUUUCCUUCUUCAAGUUCUAAGGUGGUGGGGAUUCAACGACAAGUGGUGUAGCUGGAUCGAACUCUGUAUGUGUUAUGCGAAAGUGGCUAUUCUUGUGAACGGAGAGCCGACCAAAUGGAUAAAGACGAAAAGAGGUGUCAGGCAAGGGGAUCCGAUCUCGCCUUACCUAUUUCUGCUGGUGGCAGAGUGCCUAGCCCGUAUGACCAACGAGGCAAUCUCUAAUAAGCUCAUCAAAGGCAUUGGACCGAACGAGACUUGUAAGGUCUCUCUCAUCCAAUUUGCGGAUGACACCUUCUUCUUCAGCGAAGCAAGAAGCAGAUACUUGAAAAACCUCAGGUUUCUUUGGCGCCUCUUUGAAUGGGCUUGGGGUAUGAGAAUCAACAGGGCUAAGUCUGAACUCUACUACUUGGGUAAGGACGACGGAAAAGGUGCUAGAUUAGCUAACAUUCUCGGUUGUAGAGAGGGUACCCUCCCGACUAAGUACUUGGGCUUACCUCUUUCCCCUAGACCUCCUCACAGGGAGGCGUGGAGGGAGAUCAUCCAAAAGCUACACCACAAAAUAGGGGGUUGGCAAGCCAAACUACUCUCUAGAGGCGGUAGACUUAUCUUGGUUAACGCUGUUCUUACUAACCUACCCCUGUACUUUCUAUCCGUUUUCAAGGCUCCUGCAUGGGCGAUUAAGCGUAUCGAAGCCAUUAGAAGAGAUUUCUUCUGGAACGGCGGCCACAACCUCCCUGGGAAAGGUUGCCUCGUGGCUUGGAAGAACGUUUGUAAGCCCAAGAAGGAAGGCGGGCUAGGUAUCUUGGAUGUUGCUACCAUGAACCAAGCCCUUUUGACCAAAUGGUGGUGGAAAUUCCACAAGGCGCUUGACUUACAAUGGAACAAGGUAGUCAGACAUUUAUAUUACCGAAGACGAAAACCGCUAAGGGAGGGGCGAUCCUUCAGACCUUUUUCUAGCUGGUGGAUGGGAGUUCUCAGCCUUAAUACCAUCUUUAAUUGGGGAGCGGCUUUUAAGCUUGGGAACGGAAAUACAGUCGAUUUUUGGCUGGAUCGAUGGUGUGGGGAGAAGCCAUUGCACCUACUAUUCCCGGAAGCUUUCCUUAGAUCUGAAGGGAAAAACCUUCGAGUCGGCGAAUGCUUUACUAGGGGCGGCUGGAACUGGACCAAGAUCUUGGGAGACGAGUUGGAACAAAUGCAAGCACUGAUACCGAACCUCUCGGAGCUAGUGGAGUGGCUAUCCCGCUACACCGUUGAGAGCAGACGGGACGAGAUUCAAUGGCGAUGGAAUAAUGAUGGACACUUCUCGGUUAAAUCGACCUAUUCGGCUUUGACGGACGGCGGGACGAGGGAUGCCCGAGCCGGCGCCAUUUGGAGUCUCAAAAUUCCUCUCAAGGUUAAAGUAUUCAGCUGGCUAGUGCUUAAGAAAAGAAUUCUCACACGGGAUAAGCUAGUUAAGCGGGGGUGGAUUAGCGAUCCUAUUUGCGUGCUCUGCGGGGCGGACGAAGAAACUGUGGAUCACCUAUUCACUCGCUGUGUUUUUUACAAGUUUGUGUUAGUGACAGGAGUGGACGACAUCCAGGCCCAUGAUUUGGGGGAUGAUGUACACCUUGUGUGGGAUAGGUGGAUGUGCUUAAUGAACCAUCUAAAGAAGCGGAACAGACUUACAGACCUAGUUGGCUGCUGGUGGAGCAUCUGGAAUGCCCGAAACGAUUGUAUCUUUCGGAACAUCCCACCGAACCCCGGUUUAGCAACCCAGAGACUCUCCCUACUGCUGAAAGAGUGGGAUCUCCCUCUAGCCACUUAGCUGUCUUGGACCUAUGGUUGUUUUUUUUUUUUUUUUUUUUUUUUUUUUUUUUUUCCGGCUUGUUUUCUCUCGAGGCCAUGUUGCCUCACUCUUGUAGCUUAAUUCAUCCGUUUAAUGAAUGAAGCGGAUAGCGUGCUACCUUUUUCUCAAAAAAAUGUCUGGGAUAUAGUGAUGGUAUGCGAAAUUGUUUCGAUCUAAGAAUUAGAAAGUUGGUAGUAUUUUUGGUGAAUUCUUGCAUAAUCAUUAUGUUAUUUUUCUUUCUAUACUAAUAAUAAUAAUAAUACUAAUAAUAAUAAUAAUAAGGAGGUGGUGUGGAAUCAUUAGCAUCAGGAACACCAGCAUAGGAUAAAGGAAGAAGCUUUUUUUGGUGUUUCCUCGCGUGAGUGCAGCACCCGGAAGAGAAGAGGCUAAUGAGUUGGUUUGGUUGAUGGGGUGAGGAAUCGAGUGGAGUUUUUGAGUUCGAGUGACGUGCCAGGAGACUCUGGUACAAAUAUAAAACUUACGAAGGCCAUAAUUUUAUAAAUAUAUAAAAUAUUACUUAAACCCUUCUGAUUUCAUAGUCUCUUACAAACAUCUUAGGACUAGUGCAUCUACGAACAUAUGAUCCGUAAUCUGCUUUAAUAUCACUUGUUCAAUAAUUUCAAGCAUGUAAUAUACAUUAGAUAAUCACUCAAUUUUAACUCAAUUGAAAUAGCUCCUUGAAGUUUAUUCAUUUAUUUUUUCAAUAGACGAUCAUUCAACUUUCGCUUGUUUUGGCUUAAGAUGUUUCAAUCAUUGAAUCGAAAAUUUUGUUAAAGUAGUAUGCGAUUCUGCCAACUUUCGCAGAUCUAAAUUCUUUCACCUGGAGUAAGUUCUCUAGAGUCAAAACAAGUUCACGGGCCUAUCUUAAAAAUUGUCUAUACUUUAAGGGGUUUCCAAGCAUUUUUACGACAAACUAAUCAAGUCACUGAAGAGAGAAGUAAACUACAGCACUAGCAGUGUUUCAAUUUGGAAAUGAAACCUCCAAAGUGUGCAUCACACUGAUUCAUCUGAUGCAUCUGUAUGUUUACGCGCCACGCCAUCCUACUAAGGACCUCUUCUUUGUUUAUAGAUUAGAUGGCCGAUUUAAAAGCAAAAGACGAGAUGAAUGCUCGACGGAUACAUGGUGCACGGAUACAUGGUGCACGGAUGCGCAGAUGCAUCAGGCGAAGGCAACUAUUUCAUAUUUCCCAUCAAAUAGAGGAUGAGGGAAGGGACUGAUAUGGAACAGUGUACAAUGUUAGGGUGUCUGAUGCACAUUUCAAAAGUUCAGGAACCAAACUUAACUCUGCUAAAGUUCAGAUAGUGGUGUAAUUGCCCCAGAGAAAAUACACACAAAAAAACACCUCUUAAAUAAGUACGAAAUAACUUAAAUGUACACACAAAAAAACACCUCUUAAAUAAAUAGGAAAUAACUUAAAUGUCCGAAAUAGAAGAGCUUACGGAAUCACCUCAAUAUUUCGUGUUACAACCAGUUAACUGGAACACGAGAGACCACACGGGAUCCCUAUCGAAAACUUAUCAACUAUAGCAGUGGUUUAAUAUAUAUAGAGACAUGCCACAGCAAAUUAUAAGUUAAGAAAGAUAUUUAUAUCUAAACAGACAAAUCUGCAUUUUUCGAAGGCGUCGUGAACAUUUUACUGACUAGCGUAUCUCUACUAGUACAAAAUAACCUGACGUUGGGAGCCUUCUAAACAUAAAACCCACACUGGUGAAUGCUCCCAUUGAACCUGCAAGUAUUAAAAACCACCAUUGAAAAAAGUAAAUAACAUUCGAUUGACCUGGCUAAGGACAAUUAGUCUGUUGCUUAUAAAAGGGGGGGAAAAUGCUUAUUUUGUAGUGCCUUGGAAAACAUUUCUAGUAUUUUGCAACUUAAAAUUAAAGUUUGGCCAACUUCUGUUCAGUCCCUAAUGAGCUAGAAAUAGCAACAUGUACGUAUAAUUGAUAUCUACACUCUGGCCAUAUUCUCCACCACAAAAUACUGAUAACUAACCUUUAUUGUUUGUGUAAAUUGAUAGACUCAAACCCUAAUAUAUAUCUAAGAGGUUAGUUGCAGCUUGGACAUUCUCACUAUUGCAUGCUUUUCAUUAUUUGGAUGGAUCUUGUUGGGUUAGAAAAUUUAGUCUCCUAGUCAUGUUGUUGAUUGUUCUUUUCAAACAUUUUCCUCUCCAAAAUGUGAAAAAUGAAAUAUAUUUCUUUGUCACAGGUUAAAUAAAACAUGUAUUUUUGGACUAAAGCAGAACAAAAGCAGUAGAUAAAAUGGGAAAUAUCACUCCUGACUAGAGGAAAAAUAAGCAAUGCAUAUCUAGUAUACUAUACCAUUAAGCGAUAAAAGGUAAUUCAGCAUGGGGGUAUACCGACAGAAUUUAUACAUACCACGUACUGCUGCUCUAUUUGAGACGACUAACGGGGAUCAUUUCCUUGCUUUCCCAAACUCUGCACAUCCUCUGGUGAGAGUAUCUUAAUAUACCAAACGCUAUUGACAAAUGAUCUGCAGUUAAGGUUGGCAGCAAGCACCCAAGUGAGACACACAGAAGAGGGAUACUGUUUCUUUUUUAUGAUAGGAGGACAAUAUGCAGGUUAUAAAGCAGAUAGACUAAGCACAAGGGAUGGGAGAGAUAAAAUGUUUGCUUCAAAGUAAAAUGCUAUGUUGUAGGCAAUUAAAUCUUUCUUUUGUUUCUUACUCCCAGGGGUCGUCUCCAAGGAGAAGUAUGUCAUUCUCCCUGUCAACAAAUACAAGCUGCCAGCCUGAUCUAUGAGGGUCUUCCAAUUGACCCUGAAUACCGAACAUCUGACCCAGCUCUUCACGUAAUUCAUCAUAGUUGUUGAAGCGGGUGAUGUCCAAUGACCUUCCUACUGAUCCUGAUUUGUACACCUGCAUAUGAAGAUUACAAGCUUUAAUUAGUAACUUUUUACGGUGAUACUCAGAAGAACUUAAUAUGUGGUUCUCACCUUCACAAAUGUUCUGUUUGUUGAAUCAUUCUCUCCUGAAUUUUGCAACAAACCAGAUGACUCGUUGAGGCAACCAUACAACGGAUUUUGAAGAGAUGAAGAACCAUAUGGAAUUGUUGAUACAUCAUUGUCACCAGCAUUUGAAGUUAGAUUAGGCACUACAUUAUAGAGGAGUGAGGAAGAAUCGAUAUUAGCACCAAACAGGGUGUGGUUCGCUACAUCACCAUGGCCAUCAUUUUCAUUACCGGCAGAACCAUCUUUGCCCACAAGUGAUGGUAGCAAACCUGAGCCCCCAAAGGAUGAAGAAUGCGAUGCCAUUGGCUUUGGUUCCCAUUGUAAUUGCUGAUGCUCACUCAUCAUAGGUUGACUUAUUCUAGUUAAGUCUAUCAUAUUCGAACUUCCUUCAAGGAAACUAGAGUCUAACAUAUUCUGAGCACUGUUAGAAUUUAGAAUUGUUGAAAAGUUCAUGUUUGGAUCAGAAAGGCCAAAUUUCUGACAAAGGUGAGAGGGCAACUGCGACUGUUUCUGGAACACAGGGCUGCUAGGGACCUGAUAAUUCUGCGUCUGUUGAAUCUUCUGUUUCUGGUUGUUGAGCGGUUGCUGAUGCUGCUGCUGCUGAUGCUGCUGAUGCUGCUGCUGCUGCAGUUGUUGCAAUUGCUGGUGGAAAACAUGUUGCGACUGAGGACUAAUCAACUGCUGCUGACUUGCUUGCUGAAGAAUUUGCUGCUGCAUUAACAGGUUUAUAUUGCUGGGUUCUUGGGAAGACUGCAAAGGUUGCCGAAUAUGUAGAAAUUGCUGUUUCAUAGAAGUCCCAUUUGAUAACGUUGCAGCUGCCAUCAUUUGGUACUGGUCGUGAUCAUUUCCCAGCAAGGUAGAUUGGACCCUCUGUGGGCCCCAUGAGCCCAUACCAGGUGACUGAAAAUUUAAAGACUGAUAGUUUCCCUCUCCAGCAACACCUCUCAGCCACAUCAAAGCAUUGCUAUCGUCUCCUUUGACAUAUAAAAGUUAAUGGAAAAGAAUUCAAUAUUAGAAAGGGAAGAAAUCAAUGCUUCGAUCAUAUAACAGGCUUUUAUAUAGAACGAUCAAUAUCUAAUUUGGAUGAUAACAACAACAUCACAUCAUAUGUUUCAUCGAAUAUACUUCCAUAAUUAGAUUACUGCAUUAAAGGUUUUUGUCGACUUUCCGUAUUAAAGAUAUCUGUUCCUGUUUUAUCUUUUUUGAAACCCAAUUGGCACAUGAAACUCAUCAGAGAUUUUAUAAAAGUUAAAGCUAUUGAGGAAAAAAUAUAGACAUUUAUAAAAUACUAAUGCAUAGUUACAUACCGUGUAGACCAGGCACACCGGGAUACCAAGGAUGCUUCAGCCUAAGUGGAAACAAAGAGGGGUACAUGGGAAAGGUUGUCAAAGGUUCGAUUUCCCAUAAUGAAACUCUAGGCGGUCUCUCACCUGCCGUCGAUUCGUCCCAACCGACCUGUCAGUUAAAGGUUGUACAACGUUCCCAUCCCAAAGAAAAAGGAAAAAAAUCAGAGUUUAGUAUGACUUGAACACUCCGGCAUAUUGUAUACGUAAAACAUAAGUUACAAGGCAGUCAAUCAGAACUUGCAUAGCUACUUACUAAAAAUAACAAUUAAACCUUUAUAAGACGUCAACUGCCAAUUCUUUCCUCUAGAAAUGUUCAAUUUAAAUUGCACAAUUUAAUACAGUUGGAAGUAAGAAAUACGAAGAGAGUGAAAGUAAAACUUUCAUAUAGAAUUCAUCUCGAAGGAAAUUUUGGCAGGUUUAGAACAAGAAGAUACACACAAAAAAUGAAACAGCUAAGAAUACUUAUUACCUUGACUGAUCUCCAAUGAGAAUUUGGCCAUCGUAUAGGAUCCAUAUCACUUAUUUCUGUGAUCGUUCCCAUGUACCUAGAUUGAGAUGACAUUUACAUUAGACUUGUCCUCAAAUUAUUGUAAACUAGAACCAGUUGAACCCACAUUUAUAUACACUUUUAUCACCAUAAAUAAAAUUCCGCAAGACAACUACGGAGCAUCUCAGUGAUCUCACCAACUGAAAAUAAUUAACUAAAAUCACCAAACUAGGAAAAGUCUUAGCACAACUAGGGAAGGUUCCUAUGAAACAAUCAUGACCAAAUACCAGUUUAUUACCUACGAACGCUUGAUUCUUCAGUCUCAAACAGCAUACGAAAGCGCAUUCCAACCGAUAUUCGAGUGUGGAAAACAGCUUUAACAUACUUAGACAGUGGAAUCACAAACUCAGAUGGACUUGCCCUACAAAUUGCACCAGCCUCAACGAUUUCAGUAGGACAAACAUAGGCACAACAACCUAGGCUAAUCAAAGAUUACCUCGGGUUAUAAAAUAUAGUAAAGCGACUGUUUGUUGCAGCAGCAUGAGCUGCUGCUGCAAGGAGUCCAAUGUGCAUACUGUCACUUGACAGAACAGAUGAAGGCAUUAUUGUUUGUGGCCGACUAGCACGUCUGAUUCCCAGUAAAAGCUGGUUCUUCUCAUUCCUAAACAAAAUAAAAACAGGAGUGAAUUUAGAAAACCAUCAUAAAAGACUAAUAAGAGUAGGCAUUAUAAAGCAAACCAUAUAAAGAGGACAGAAUCUCCAGCUGCAAGUCUCUUGGCACUGACAAACACACUCCAGCCAGUAGUUAGAAGAUGCCUUUUUGGUUGGCCUGCAACAAAAUGAUGUACAAAUGCAUAAAAGAUGGCAUUAAAUUUUGCUUACAAAGAUUUUUAGCUAGUUAUAUCUGCAGCAUAAAAACCUGAAUUGUUCAAGGUCAUGAAUGCACAAUGUAUACCAAAUUGAACAUAAUUGUUUGGGUCAGUAUACCACUUUACUCAUUUCAGAGUACCGUUUAUAGCAGAUAGACUAUAUUAGUCAUGAACCUCAUUGUUGUUUUACAAGUAAAGGAUACGAUACAUUUGGACAAAACAGAAAAGAAAACAACACUAAUUUGGCACCCAAUAUUUUGUGGUUUAUGCGUGCCCCACCUGAGAUAUCACAUGUACAGGAUAAAAUAGUUCAAAUGAACUGAAAAAAAUUUCUCAAGAACCAACACGUCAAUGCCAAGUUGUUGGUUCAAUGCGGUAAUAGAAUCUCAAGUUGAAAUGCAUUAGCACCACUGUUACUUAUCACAACAAGCUAUAAAGAGCGCAAAGGGAUAUUACCCCAGAUAGGGAAAAGGUGAGCUACAACGUCAUACAAGCAUUGCACAAUAAAACGUGAUAUUCAAUAAAUACCAUAAAAGUCAAAACACAUGAUUUUGGUGAAUCAAUAUUUUGGAGUUGAAUGCCCCCAUAUUAGACAAAAUUUGAACAACACUAAUAAAAAGAAUCCCAAACAUUCUACAGGAAAGUUGAAGAUAAGCAACCUUUUGAACUUACCUCGGAAAAUGUGCCGGAACUUCCACUCAAUAUCAUGAAUAUCCCGAGCAAUAAGCUCCUGAGCUGGCGGCUGCUGUGAGAAGUCCUAGAAACAUUAAAAUUCCCCGGUUAUUCGUUUAGCCGCAGCCAAUAAGUGUAACAGCAAAAUAAUCGCAUUCACACACUUAUCAGACCAGAGGAGGGAACACUCUCUCGGCCGCGCGGCGAGGAACGGAGAAUCCUCCAUGAGUACUGGUAUCGCUCGCCGUCAAAGUCUUGCAGAAAUAAUUCGUCGGCUGCUUGCUCAUAAUGCCCAUCUCAGCUGGAAGAUAAGCAUCAUUUUGCUCUUGCUGCAAAAGUUACAAAAUUGCCCAACAAUUCUCCUCAAUCAACCUUCAUUUAACAUCACAAUCCUGUACAAUUACGCUUACCGGGUUUAGAGGCUGCAAGGUCAUUUGAGCAUAAACUUCAUCUGUUUCCACAUCUGCCUGAAAAGUUGAAACCUAUCAACACUUCCAGGAUCCAACGCAUGAAAAUAACCACACUAAUUCGUGACAAAAUAACACCAAAAAACUCACAUGCAUUGUAACAUCAUGCAGUUGGCAAAUCAAUUGAGGAGGUAGGUUUGGAUAAUUUGGGAUGUGUCCCUCAACCUCCUUGUUUGUGGAUGCAGCAACCUUAAAUUCCGAAACAAACAUAGAAUAUUAAAGCCCAGGUUAUUUUGCCUCUGCUCAUUAAAAGAAAUUUUGGUGGGGGAGUAAAACCCUCACCUGCUCGCUGUGACCCUGAGGGAAGUAGACGACGCGUGUUCCGAGCGUCGGUAGGCAAACGAGGGGGCCGGCGCAGGCGUGCCACAGCUCCGAGUUCAAGCAUUUCUUCUCUGAACAGGUUAAAGGUGCCUCUUUUAAGAAGGAAAUCGAAAAAAGGGGCAUGAUUAAGCACAAAAAUCGCAAAACAAUACCUUCUCCUGGGCGGGGAUCCAGGGUUCCCACCGAAGUGCUCAUCUCCAAAACCCUAAUUCCGCCGAAGCCCCUCAAGAGCGCUUCUUCAUCAAUCCUCGAACCCGCCAAAACCCCAUCGCCCUCGAAACACUCUAAAUCUCUCUAAGAAGCCGAACCAACUCAGAACCACCGCGAUCUACAGUCCCAUAGGAGCGAACCCUCGCAUCAGCUCCCAAAUCCCCACUCCAAAGCUAAAGAAGGAGCUACUGGAGCUUCUUUAGACGGACCACGCGAGACCUCAUCCGAGCUCCGAGGAGCUCGAGAUCGCCAUGAGAGGACGAAGCGGAGCUACGAAGCUAGUGAUCCUACGAGGAAAAGAGGGGGGAGGGGUGAAGGGGGAGGACGAGGAGAUAAGGAGGAGGAAGAGGACGAGGAGAGGACGGAGAAUUAGGUCGUAUGCGCCAUUUUAAGUUCGCGUUAGGUACUGUGGGAGUGUGUGUGGCAGGGGGUGGAUUUUAUAAAUUUCGAGAAGGAUAGGGGUUUCCGAGUAAAAUUCCCCUGUUUAAGUACGCUACGGUCGCGUACGUACGUGUGGACGUAGCGAUGGGGCGCAACGACGGUUAUAUAACUACGGUCUCUCUCUCUCUCCGUAAUAAUCGGGUAGGAAAGGAUGUUUCCUGUUUGACUGAGCCGGGUCCACCACGUCACCCGUGAACCAAAUAAAAUUGCCUCUUUUUAUACAUUUAUGAAGCAAUUAAAGAUGUGGAGUUAAAAAAAAAAGAUUUAAACGCAUCAAAAUCAAAUAUUCGUAUUUGAACUACUUUAUUUGACUGAACUUAUAUUUUUUAUUUACUUUUCUCAUCAAUUUUUUUGUAAAAAUAUAUAAAAAAAUUUUCACUACAGAACAAUUGAAAUUAGCUUUCCAUCUUUUUUAUUUUUUUAUGGACAAUCCGUCUUUUUUUUAGUUCAACAAAAUUAUUCAUCAUAAAUUGAAGAAAUUGUUGAAUUUGGUAACGGUUUAAAUGAAUCCAACUAGUUGUGCAUUAAAACAAUUAAUAAUCUUUUUAGAAUUCAUAAUUUGCUUAACAAAAAUAAAUUUAGUGGCAAUAACAAAAAACUAAUAAGGUGAAGUCCAUGGAAAAAGAGAAAUUUAAGUUUAGGGUGUAUUUUAAAAUCUCCUGUAAGUUUGAGGGGUCUUCAUAUAAUUUCACUCUGCUUGUCCAAUCCGGUUCAUUGAACAAGGUACAAGCAACAAUAAGUACCACAUAAAACAUUUGACUCAGUUGACUGCAUAUGGACAAAUUUUAUAAAAACCUAAAUCCAAAUUGGAUGAAUUUAUUCUAUAGUAAACAAAUAUAAUUUUACAUACAGAUGUAACAAAUUCGGAAAUGAAUCUUAUUUAUACUCAAUCCGAACUCGAACAUGAUCCGAAGAUGAAUAAAUUUUGUAGUAUAUAUUAUACACAUGAAUGUUUGAUGAUGUUAUAUUUAAAUGUAUAUUUUAAAACUAUAAAUUUUAAUAUAAUACACUUAAUAUAUGAUAAAGAGAAAUCGAUUGUUUCGGAUUCGGAUUUUAGAUCUUUAGUUGGGUCCGAUUUAGAUAUAAAUUUUCAAAAACCAUCGGGCUUGGAUUUUGAAUUCAUCUGUUAUAUUGAGAUUCAAGUUUUUAAAAAAUUCUUAUCCGAAUCUGAUCCGAUGAGAUUUAACUGCUCCACGAUUGUCUCCUUAUUCUCGGAUAUGUAAAUGCGUAGAACAUAAUCCUACGUAGUUAAUUUGGGCUUCAUGCACGGAUUUAAUAAGGAAUAACUUUUUCUGAUUCCUAAAUUAUCAUAAGAUAACAAGAUUAUUAUUUAGAACAAAUUUAAUUCUAUGCUUAGUAAUUAUUUGAUAUUAAAUGAGUGGUCGCAUCAACAGAAACUGUUUGAAAAUGAAAAGUCCGAUCGCAGAAAAUUAAACUUAUGACUCUCCCCGAACUCGACUUCACAGUUCUCUAAGGUAAAAAUGGUCGAUCUUCGUACAAUUAUAAGUAAAUGUUUAGUGCUUAAUUUCAAAGUCACAACUUUAAUUUUCUAUGCAUUUAGUAAUUGCAUGAAAACCUGAGUUGUUGGAUUCAAUACAAUGCGACCGAUUUUUUUUUUCCUUUCUUAAUGAUUUAUAGCAACAAUUUAUAUAUUUAACACAUUCCGUUCCAUGCAUAUUUGAUGAUUUCAACCCAAUAUGAUGAGAUGAAAAAAUUAUUUGCUACGUAGAUCCUAAGCACACAAUUACAAUUACAUCAAAAGUCGCGCAAGUUGUUGUUAAAUGUAAACAACAGAAAUUAACAGGCUAUGUAUUAGAAUUAGAAUGCUUUUAACUUAUUUGUUCAUUCUAUUUAUAUCCUUUAAAAAUAAAUCUAAUGGUGACGUAGGAAAAUUUUAUAUUUUUUGCACUCAAAAUCAAGAAUUAAUUUCAUACAUGUUCAUGCAAAUAUAGUAAAUGAUAAAUAUAUCCCUACAAAGUUCACUUUUUAUAUAUUGUUUCUAUAAAAAUUUGAAUAUUUUCAAAUAUAUCCUUCUAGUUUGUCACCGCUAGAGACCUGUUUAUUUUUUCAAUUUUGUUAUCACAAAUACGUUCAUCUAAAAAUCAUAACAGUAUAAUAUAAGAGAGCUAAAAAUAUUAAAAAUUAACGAGGAUUAAGUAUUUAAUCUAUAGUUAACUAAAUUUUAUAACGGAUUCUAACGGUAGAAAUAUAUUUAAAAAUAUUAGAAUUUUUACAGAAAUUAUAUAAAAAUUAAAUUUUAUAAAAAUAUAUUUAUUAUUUACUAUAUUUAUAAAAAUCUGUAUGGAAUUAACCCUAAAAUCAAAAACUCGAUAGAGCUCUAGAUUUGUAUAUAGACUUACGUGGGCUCACACCUCUGACUUAAUAAUCAGUUUCUACACGAAACAACUACACUGAUGGAGCUGUCAUUAAAAUUUAGAAAUAAAAUAAUCAAUCAAAUUCUGAAUAUUUUUGCAGAAUAAAUAUGUGGUGGAGGCUCUACUUAGGUAUCAAUGAGAGGAAUAUUUCAUCUGACCUAGAUAGGGAAAAAAAAAGAUGAGAUAUAGCUACACAGGUGUAACCAUCACCCAUAUAUUACUUCCAUAAGAAACCAAAAUGUAAAUGUUAGGCAACAUGGCAUUUGUUUAUUUCCUUAUUUCUUUCUUUUUUAUUAAAAAAAUAAUUUUAUAUAUAUAUAUAUAUAUAUAUAUAUAUAUAUAUAUAUAUAUAUAUAUAUAUAUAUAUAUAUAUAUAAUAUUAGGUUAUUAUUAUACUAUCAAUAAUACUGAAACUCCUAGUACUGUAGUUUUGUUUUCGGUCUUAAAAUAUUCAAAUCAACGAUCCACUUUGUUACAUAUUAUAUAGGGUAUAAAAAAUUUAAAAAAUUAAAAUUUUAAUUUUUUUCAACAUCGUUGUUACUUAGUAAGUGAAUUAUGUCAAAAUUAAUGAACGGUUGAAAUUGAACAAUCUUUAAAAUUUAAGGAUGGAACUUUUAAAUUCAAAAUAAAGGAUGUUAAUCUUGAUUUAGAUAGUUUAAAGUAUUUUUUAUUAAAAUUUGAAUAAAUUUAGAUUCUUCUACAUCAUUAAAUUACAAAGUCGUCGUACUGACCAUUGAAAAUUGACAAUUUUAAAAUAAUUUGCUUGUAAAGUAAAUUAAUUCGAAAAAAUAUAUAAUUUUAUUUCUAAAAUCUUUAAAUACCCUAGAUCGGUUUUAAAGAUAUGAAUCGUUGAUUUGAAUAUUGUAAUGUUGAAAACGAGACUAUAGUACCGAAGUCCUGGUACUAUAGACAGUAUAAGAACCUAGCUCUAUAUAUAUAGAGAGAGAAAGGGAGUCCGGUUACUAUACUAUGGAUAGCAUCAAGCUUUUGAUAUUAUCGAGUUUUCUAUAGAUAUACCUUUUGAUCAUUUCCAUCCGUUAGAUUAUACUAUUCAACCAAUUACCCACUCAACCCUAGGGGACCACUCAAUUCUAAGGGACUAAUAUCAUCUUAAUCCUAUAGCCACCGUUCGGUUCGGGGUUAAGUAAAAACUUGUUAUUCCAGGGAUAGAGUUAAGUUCAGGAUUAAGGUGGGAUUAAAGUAAUUUUCUAUUUGGUUGAGAAUUGGGUUUAGUCCAGAUAUAGAUAAAAUAAUAUUUGGUCAGAGUAGGUGGGAUAAGAAGGAUAGUGAGUAAAAUAGUAUUUUAUUUGUUUGAAAUAGUGGGGUGGGAUUAGCUAACCCCACCCCUCAAAUUGGAUAUUUGAAAAUAACUUCACGAUUAAGAGGUUAUUCCACCCCUUAAUCCCGAACCAAACGGGUGCAUAAAUUUUUAUGCGAUGGUUAAAAAUUUAAUAACAAAAAGGGCCAAAUCCUACUAAUAGUAUUCCAGCUCAUCUCUCUCCCUCUGUGUAUAUGUAUAUAUAUUAUAUAUUAUUUUUAGGGUUUGAAAGGGUGGACAACAUGGGUUCCACCAGUCACAUCAGGCAUGGUGUUUGUGUACUUGCCUCUACUAUUUCUGAUGUGACCCAUCUGGCUUUGCAAGAACACCUUGCCCCAUCUAUGAAUUGACAUCUCUGCUUAAUAAACAAGGUAUAUAUUGCACAGCAGUAUUCUCUGUACAGUUGUACAUUUCUCUUAUAAUUAGUAAGAUAUAAAUACUACAGUUUAUUUAUUUAUAUAUUAAAUGUUAAUAUAUUUAUGGUAAGAAUGUAUAAAGCUCAUAUAAACUAAUUUGACUAUUUAAUUUUUUUAAAAUUUUAAUUUUAUAUUUAAUUUUUUAUAUAUUUAAUUUAAAUAAUCUAAUGACUUUUCAAAUAUAAAAUUUAAGUUAAUUAUUUAUUUUUAAAAAAUUUUAAUUAUGCAAAUUAUAUAAAAUAUGCUUAUUAAUUAACUUGUAAAGAUAAACAAUAUAUUCAAAUUUCGAAGUUAAAAUGUCACUACUUAGUUCAAAUCAAAUCAACUAAAUGGUCAUGUGGUAAAACUAAAAUUUGUAGAGAUUAGGUAGUCUAAUCCAAAAAGGUAAUAGCUCAGAUAAGUCUUAUACAAUUUUACCUAUAUUUUUAAAGUAAUGAUCUUACUAGUUUUUUAUAUUAAAAUGUCAAAAUAACUUUUAUACUAUUAGAUGAGUGGGAUAUGAAAUGUACACUCUAUUUGUAGAAUAUACAAACAAUUGUUUUACUUUAAUUUACUUUUAAUGUGAGCCAUCUCUGGUGGAGUAUUUUUAGUUUUAGCAAAAAUAAAAGUUUGGAGACCCAAAACCGAUGUUCUCAUGAUAAGCAAAAAGUAGAAACAGUUUAAAAGAUUUUAAUAUUAUUUUUUUUAUGCUAUGGUUACUUUAAAUUAAUAUUAUUUUAUUGAGCAAUACUAAAUAAAUUAAUCAGCUGUAAUUUUAAAAUAGCAUAUCGUCGAGGUGUAGUAAAAAAAUUCAUAAGAUGCCCCUUAAAUAGAAAAAAAACAUGGUUUCUACUUUUAACUCAAGGUGAGGUAACUCAUCAAGAACACCUUUUUCACUACAGUAAAAAAAAAAAAGAAAAAAAAGAAAAGAAAAGCUUUGCAUGAUUUUUUGUUUGCUAAAUAUUGGACUGUUGUUUUGUGAAGUAGAAAAGUUACUUCAAAUUUUAUACUGUAGAAACACUUCUAGUUAUAUCUCAACCAAAUCAAAUGCUUACAUAGUAAAUCACGUGAAACUGAUUGGUUGUGACCAAUUAUAAAAAUAUAUUUGUGAAAAUCAUCUAUCAAUGCAUGCACAAUUUAUUUGCGUACAAAAGCAAUAGAAGUUCAUCUAGAACUCUCAUGCAAAACCAAUCCCAAAGCAUAUAUAGUAAUUGACCUGCACAUUUAACUUAAUAUGUCAUUAGGGUAUCGAUCAACAUCAUCUAUUGAAGCUCAAGAAAUUUCUAUAUCUUAAGCCCUUGUUUGGUUGGAGGUUAAGGGGUGGAAUAACCCCUUAACUCCCAUUUUAUCCCCAAACAUCCAAAAAAAUAGGUGGGGUUAGCUAAUCCCACCUCAAAUAAAUUAUCCCGGGUUAGCUAAUCCCAUCUAAUUCCACCAAACUCCAACCAAACACUAUUUUCUAUUCAUAAUAAUCCACUAUCUUUCUUAUCACACAUACUUCAACCAAUCAUUAUCCUUCUUUAUCAAUCAUUAUCUUUUUAUCCCACCUACUCAAACCAAACACUAUUUUUCAUUAUUCUAGACUAACUCCAACCCCCCAACCAAACACAAAAAAACUUUAACCCCACUUUAACCCUGAACUUAACUCUAUUCUUGAAAUAACUACUUUUUCCUUAACCCCGAACCAAACGGAGGCUAAAGCUUUAUACAUAUAUAUGUAUAUAUGUACGCGCGCGCGCACUAUAUCAUACCUAACACCUAAAAAU